RNAcentral lists this long non-coding RNA (68278 nucleotides) under Ananas comosus (pineapple). RNAcentral's name for it is "long non-coding RNA (ACOM_LNC008593)". Lineage: Eukaryota; Viridiplantae; Streptophyta; Magnoliopsida; Poales; Bromeliaceae. The record is from RNAcentral.
AAUUGAUAUUUUUUUUUUUAUAUUGCAUAUAUACAAUCAUCUAUAAAUACAUAAUUUUAUAAUAUUAAUUAUCAACUAUAAAUAUAUAAUUUUAUAAUAUGUAAACUUAUAUAUAAAUAUAAUGUUUUAAUUAGUAAUUAAAAGAUCGCAUGAUUAUUUUAUAUUCCGGAGAGGUAAUUUUAUCUCUCUAUCUAAAAAGUAACUGGAUUCACAAAUAUAAAUCAGCCUACCAAAUAGAAAAAAAAAAGUAACGGUACAGUUGCAACUGUAUGAACCAAACAGACUAGUUGUAGUUACGACGGCAAUAUUUGCAACUGCGCGUAUUUUUAACUACACUGUUUUUGCAACUAAAUCCAUCCAAACGGUCCCUAAAAGGUCAUCUAGUGAGAUGUAAUUAGAAAUAUAGUCUAGCUGGAAAUAAAUGCAGUUGAAAAUGCACCAUUUAUAACUACAUACAUCUUAUUUGGACUUUUUUUUGAAAUAACCCUAUAGAAUUUUCUAAUUGGAUAAAUAAUUCUAUGAAUUUUUUUUUAGCAAACUAACCCUCCUUUUGUCUUGUAGGAGGCAUGGUAAAUUGUUUUCUUAAAUAUGGUGAAUCAUUCACCGCCUUCAUGAAGUCGGUUAACGAUUCACCGCAUUUCAUUUUCACAAAAGUGAUAAAUCAUUUACUGUCUUUCCCUAAAUAUGCAUCUAUUUCUUUCUAUUUUUCAUAUAUAAUCUUAACAACUAUAUAAAAAUUUCAACAAAUUAUAUAUAAUCUUAAUAACCUAAAAAUCCCUAAUAAUCUAAAACAAAAAUCCUAAUAAUCCACAUAGAAUUCUAACAAUCUCACUUUUUUAUAUUUCCUAUAUAUAAUCCUAAUAUCCGUAUAAAAAUUUCAACAAAUUGCAUAUAAUCUUAACAACCUAAAGAAUCCUAACAAAUAAUUUUUAAGAUGUUAAGGAUUUUGUAUUGGCAAGUUUCGUGAUUUGAGUCGGAGUCUUGAAGGGUUCAAUACGUGAUUGUCGAAGAUCGAAGAAUCCGAGAUUCCGAAGAACUCAGAAAUGUCAUAUUGGAUGAAUCACGAUGCUCAGGUAAGCGUUUAAAUGUUUUAAUAGUGAUUCAUACUUACUUAUGACAUUAGAAUCAUAUGAAUCAAUGUUAUAAGGAUUAGAAGUGGGUUUUGGUAUUGUUCAAUUUAAUAUAACAAUAUUUGAUAUUGUGUACCGGUACCUGUAUUCAGUUCCUCAAAACCGUCUUUGAAAAAUCAGUUUUUAAUACUGAGUACCAGUAUCUCACUUUGGUACCUCAAAAUCCGAAGAGCAGUGUUCUGUGAAUUACAGUGUUCUGUGAAUUACACUGUGUACCAGUACCACAGCCGAGUACCGGUACUGCAUUGGCCGCGUACUGGUACUCAGCCUGAGGAAAUUUUCGUGUCGUCAUGGUGUACCGGUACCAAAUUUCGGAGUACCGGUACUUAAUGUAAUAUUUCCUUAAUUAGCUUCUAAUCUGAUUCUAAAGUCUAUAAAUAAGAUAUUGGGGUUCUCUAUUUCAUUGAACAUCACGAGAAUACUUGUAUGAGAAACCCUAGAGGCUAAGUUUUUAUUCUAAACCUAUUUUCCACAAAUUAGCCUCUUUUAGGUCAAUUCGAGAUAUUGUAAUUUGAUAUCUACAUGUCGAAUUGAUCUAAGGUUUGCUUAGAGAUUCUUCUCUGGUUCUUCAUCGAUACUCUAAGCGAAGGAUCACCGCAUAAACAUGAUGUUCUUCAUGUGCGGCGUCGUGAAUUCGGCGUGAUCGAAGGAGGUUCGUGGAUUCGGAUCGUGAGCUCGUGGAUUCGAGUGGCGUCCGUGGAUUCGGACGUGUGCGUGGCGUUCGUGAAUUCGAACGUGAGGGCGUGGACAACCCGUAGGAUUGCGCGAGAUUCAUAGGAGGUUAGGAGAGAUCGAGUCCGUGGAGUCGGUAAUCACCUUGUUAUCUUUUCUCUUAGUGAAUUAUUUUUUCGUGUGUUGAUCCCGUAGGUUUUUCUCUAAGUUAGAGUUUCCCACGUAAAUCUCGUGUGAUUUUCACUUUUUCGCAUUUAAUUUUAUCGCAUUGAGAUUUGUGAUUUUUGGGACAUAUACCUAUUCACCCCCCUCUAGGUGUGAUAGUAUCUAGAUAGAUCCUAAGGUUUCUAUAACAUACAAUUGGUAUCAGAGCGGGAUUUAGAUUUAUCUAUCAUAAUGGGUGAAGGCGGCAAUAUUAAUCGACCUCCACUCUUCUAUAACACAAACUAUGCCUAUUGAAAAGUUCGCAUGAGAGCUUUUCUAAUAUCAAUCGAUGAGCGGGUGUGGCAAUCAAUAGAAUUCGGAUGGAAACAUCCCACCGAAGUCGUCUAUAAUGCUACCGUCCUUAAACCUAAAAAUAAAUGGACGAAAGACGAAAAUGAGUCAUCUUAGUUCAAUGGAAAGGGGAUAAAUGCUUUGUUUAAUGCUUUGUCACAAACGGAAUUUACUCGUGUUUCGGCGUGUGAAACCGCCAAAGAGAUUUGGGAUACUCUACAAGUUACACAUGAAGGUACAAGUCUAGUAAAAGUACAAAAGCUCUAAAUAUUGACAAGUCAAUUUGAUUCUAUUCGAAUGGAGGAGCAUGCAUCUUUUACUGAUUAUUAUACUAGACUUCAAGACAUAAUUAAUACAUGUGCUAACUUGGGAGAGAAGAUCCCGGAAUCAAAAAUUGUUAGAAAGAUUUUUCAAACUCUUCCGGAGCGUUUUAGGAAAAAAGUUGCCGCGAUCGAAACUGUUAAGCAUCCGGAUGAGAUGAAAGUCGAAGAGUUAGUAGGUGCGUUGCAAACAUAUGAAAUGACUUUUCCUGCUAAUCAAUCUUCUUCCAAGUUUUCUUCUACAAGCACAGGGGUUGUGUUGAAAUCGACGAAGGAAGAAGACGUGGACUCGGAAUUCGACGGAGACAUCUCAAUUGCGGACUUUGAACAUCAAUUGGCACUAAACUGUCCCUGAUAUAUUGACACUAAACUUCCAAUCAUUUGUAUCUAAUUAUUAUUGUGUGAUUGAUUUGAUCUGAUCCAACGAACCUAUCGUGCACGCAUGCAUUAAAGAUGACUUGUUGACAUCAAUUUCCCCAUGGAGAGUACCUACCAACAACUCUAAUAUCAGAAGAGUUUUUACUGCAUUUAUGGGUCCAUAUGCCAUGUAGUGAUGUGUCCAUGUUUUCAUACACAAAAAAAAGAGAAAAAAAUGUCCCUGUAACGUUUCUAAACAAGGCAAUAUUUUAUUUUUCAUUUAAUUUUAGUUUAAUUUAACAAGGCACAAUUGGAACGUCAUUUGACUAAAUCAUAUACACUCGUAAUGUAGUGUCUCUGGGGUUUAGUGGUCGGACCGACUGCAGCAUUAGUGGCUCGUCGACAUAUCUGUGGAGUGUCGGGACGAGCCGGAGUUGUUUUGGUGCGAAAUAGAUGCGAAAACGGGCUCGGAGCUGUGAGAGUUGGAGUUCAAACACUGAAGUCCGCAAAAGCAAAAUUUGUAGUGUUGAGUACCGAUACCAGGGAGGGUGUGCCGAUACCCCAGAGGGAUUACCCGAAGGGGGGCUCUCGGGUUUGCGAGACUGGAGUUGAGUACCGGUACCGCGUCGAUGAGUACCGGUACUGUUUUUGGUACCGGUACCCAGCAUGCGAGUUUGCUGGCUGAGUGCCGAGUACUGGUACCCAAGUUGAGUACCGGUACCCAGUAGGCAGAUUUGAGUUGGUAAGGAACUUUUUGGUCCUUUUGCUGUGUCGAUCAUUCCAACCGACCCUCAGUUUAUUGAUAUGCGUAGGGAGCUUGGAGAAACAGUAUUCUUCUUAUCUUCUUCUCUCUCUCUACCUUGUAUACACCGUCAUUGGGAAGUUGAGGAUCGAUCUCGUUUCGUUCUACGGAGCUUUGGAGGGUUGCGCGUGCACCGUGGUUGAUUUCAGUUGAGUCGUUGGAGGUCGAGCUAGCACGGGGUUGCUCCUAUCGACUUCUAGCCGGUAUUGGACGAGAGUUCGAGGUGGGUUGAUGUUGCUCGAACACUUCGAAAUUCUCCCUAAGUUUCAGAAAAUGUCAGCAUGUAUUUUCUUGUUCGAUCAUCAUGUUUAGUAGCCCGAAUUCAUGGAUGUGCAUGUUUAUAUGAAACCUGAAUUUGGAGCAUCAUUAGAUGAAGUAUAUAUAUAUAUGCUGAACUGAGAUUUGACGUAGGAGAAAAUCGAUUAAACCUACACUGUCAUUUUCGAAAGUUAACCGAAUUAGCUUCAGAAGCUAUUGUUUUUUUGUAUCAUCGCUGUUAGUGUAUAGUGGAUACUCAAAGUAGUGUAGGUUGACAUUAUAUACGCUUGUGCUGAGGGACCGAGCUCGUUUUAUAGUAGCAUUGGACUGUUUCGUACUGUCGGGAGCUGUCAGAGCUGACGGUGGAUCCAGAUGUCUACAUCUUCUAUCAGAUUGUGCCGAGACCACGUGAGCCUUGGUUGUUAGACCAGUUUGACCUAUUUGCAUUGACUAUAGCCUGUGUGAGCCUGAUUGAGCUCGACAGAGAUACGCUUGCGUACUCGGUAGGGUUGCUCCCACGAGUGUCGCUCCGGAGUGAGACUUUUACUUGCGUUGAUGUCGCAGCAGUCCUGUUUGGACAUUGUUCUUGGACUGGCCACCCCUGUGGGUGAUGUGCGGUGCAGCUUGGGUAGAGGCUGGACUGACUAGUUGGCGGUCCAUUGAGAUUGGGUCAGUGUAUUGUAGCUAGUGAUGCAUUUUUAUGUCUACAGAGAGUAUGGUUUGGAUAGCGAUAGAAUAGUGGCAUAUAGCUGUAGGGUUUCUUCCAGCUUACUUUACUAUCCUCUACAUACCUUUCCUGUAGACUUAGUGGGUAGGCCGUUGGGGUCGGUAACGGUACCCACUGAGGACUACUCUGUUUUGCAGUAGUUCUCACACGCAAUUGUUGCCACCUUUCUGCAGAGCCUUCGUCUACUGCUGUUGUUGCUGAUUCUAAUUGUGGGAAGGGAGUCGCGAGCUAAAUCCCUGCCACCCCUGGAUACUGUGCUAGAGGAGUACCCUUCAGAGGUAGUUUUGGGUUGCUCCAUGUACAUACUGUAAUGUUAAUUGUACUCGCUAGAGUGAGGUUGUUCUAUUGGCUUUUGUAUGUACAGUGGACCCCUUUUAUGUUAUAUAUAUAUAUAUAUAUAUAUAUAUAUAUAUAUAUAUAUAUAUGUUCAUUUUUAGCAGCUCUAUACUUCUAGUUGUAGCUUUGACUUGGUUACAGGCACUACAAUAGAAUUAGGUUAUAGGGAUACAUGUUUGGGACACUUUUGUGUAAGUGUCCUAUUUAUGCCAAAAUUUUUUAAAAAAUCUACUAAUGCCUAAAUAUAAAGUCCAAUCCAACCAAAAAUAAAAGGUUACUCUACUCAACCCACCCCACCCAGCCCAUUCGGCCAGAUUACAAACAGAAAAAAAAAGAAAAAAUCGAUUACCAUUUCUCCUUCUCCCCUCACUCAAUCAACUGAAAUCCCAGACGAAAAUCCCUUCCUCUCAUCCUUCUCCGCCACCGCAGCCAACAAGGUAGAGUUCCGGCGGUUGCUAAAUACUUAAAUAAAUAUUGGUAAAUUAGCAGCACUCUUUUUAUGUUAUAACGACACUCUUUAACUGUCACUAAAUACCUAGUGAGCCCACAUAUAGCAACACUUUUUAAAAGUGUCGGUAAUUUAGCCAGCAGCACUUCUUUUGACCUUUACCGAUAUUUAAAAGUGUUGCUAUAAACCUUUUUUGUUGUAGUGAGGUACAGCUUUCGCUUCGUAUAUACGAAAAAUUUCUAUGUAUACGGCGGGUCUGUUGGCGUGCCAGAGAAAACGUGUUAAUUCGGGGCGUGACACGCAAACACUACGAAAUCUAAGUACAUAAAAACCUUCCGAAAUUGUCAAAAUCACAAAUCAAUUUCAAAUUUUAAAAAAUUAUCAAAACUAUAUAUCUAAUAUUGCUAACAUUAUAUUAAAAAAAUAUAUGGCUAAACUAAUUUUACUCCUUCAGUUGAUUAUCAUCAAAAUAUUGGACUUUAUCAAUUGAAAUAGAAACAAAGUUAAAAAAAGGUGAUGGCAUAAAUUACAGAAAAAAUUAUUCAAACUUUAAAAUGAAUAUAAGAAAGUUGUCCUAAGUUAUAUAAAUUGAAUAAAAAACUAUUAAAUUAUAUGAUAGUUGUAAGGGACAAAUAAGUUCUUUUAUUUUCUAACUCCUAUAAAAUUCUAACGAAAAUUAAAGAGAAGGGUAUAUAUAUAUAUAGAGUUGGACUGGGCUACUAUUAGUAGCAAAAUUCUAUUGUUGCUAUCAGUUUUUUAGCCAUUAGAUCAACUCUUUUCGUCAUUUCUAACCAUUGGAUUAAAUACUAUAACCCAGUGGGGACCACUCAACCCUAGGGGGACCACUCAACUCUAACUGACUAAUAUCAUCCUAACCCUACAAUUUUUCAUCCAAGGGUUAAAAACUUGAUAGCAAAAAGAGUGUUUUACUACUAAUAGUAUUCCAGCCUAAUUCUCUCUCUCUAUAUAUAUAUAUAUAUAUGGAGUAGGGCUGCUGUGCUUUUAGGAGCACAGAGGCCUUCGUGCUCCUCAGCAGCCCUACUUUAUAUAGAGUAGGGCUGCUGUGCUUUUAGGAGCACGGAAGCUUUCGUGCUCCUGAGCCGUUUUCGAUAAUGGAAUUUCCGAAUCGACGAUCGGCUCCGUCAGACUUAAUCUAGCGUAUUUGAAGUUUCUAGAAAAUAAUUUUUGCGAUUUUUUGAGCUUCUAUGCUUUUAAAAGUAUCAAGUCAUUGGUGCUUGUAAAUUUUUGGCCCUUAGAUUAAGAAAUAUGUGGUUAGGAUGAUGUGGGGCCCCUAGGGUUGAGUGAGUGGUUGGUUGAAUACUAUAAUCUAAUGUGACACCCCAAUAAUCCCACAUCGGAUGGGAAUGGGAUUGUCAUUGGGUUUAUAAGAGACUUAGACACUAGUAAUAAUAACUGGGCUUAAGCAUUUUGGGCCGGUUGUUGGGCCCAACGAGUUAUUGUUGCUAGUGGGCUGGGUCGUUACAUUUGGUAUCAGAGCCGGUUCACCAGCUGGACAUGUGUGGCGAGUCUCGGCUGAGCCAGGGUCUGGAUGACGGGCUAGCGAGACGAGUCUCACAUACAUGUGAUCUUGGGCGCUUGUGUUUUGCGACUGAACAGGACGUCAGGGCCUUAACGGGGGAGUAGUAUGUGACACCCCAAUAAUCCCACAUCGGAUAAAAUGGGGUUGUCAUUGGGUUUAUAAGAAGACUAGACACUAGUAAUAAUAACUGGGCUUAGAUUUUGGGCGUUGACUGGCCCAACGAUAUUAUUGCUAGUGGGCUGGUCGUUACAUCUAACGGGUGAAAAUGAUCAAGGCAUAGAAUCGAACGGUAAAAAACUCAACAACACAAGUGCUUGGUACUUUACAAGCACGCAUAGCCGACUUUAUAUAUAUAUAUUAUAUAUAGGUCCGACUACUACCUAUUUAAUAGGAAUUGGGACUCUUGUCCUAUCAAGGUCGAUUUGAAUGAUCGGAACUUCAAAUUGAUAAUCGGCACCGUUGAAUUGAUCUAUACAAUUAGAAAGUUUGAAACCAAAUUUGUAAUAUUUAAAAUCAUUAUCAAUUCAUCUUAAGAGUUGAAAAAUGAACGUCCAUAAAUGAAAACCUUCUAAAAUAGAGUUAUACUUUCUCAGUUCGUAAUCAGGGUCAUCAAACAUAUCUAAAUAGUAUAAUAGAAUUUUCUAUCAAAUUCAAGCAAUUGAUGCUCUACACCGCUAAACAGCAACAACGCUCAUAUAGACCGUCAAAAAUUGUCGAUUUUACGACCACUUUGAUCACAUGUAAACCACUUAUCAAAAUUAUGAAAUUUAGUUUCUAGAUAUUCAAAUACUCUAGAUCAACUUCAAUGGCUCCAAUCAUCGAUUCGGAAUCUCGAUCAUCAAGACAACUUGAUAGGACAAGUGUGUCCUAUCCUAUUAAUAGGAUAGUAGCAUUAGCCUAAUUAUAUAUAUAUAUUAUAGUUAUAUAUAUAUAUAUAUAUAUAUAUAAUUAGGCUGGAAUACUAUUAAUAGUAAAACGUUCUUUUUGCUAUCAAGUUUUUAACCCUUGGAUGAAAAAUUGUAGGGUCAGGAUGAUGUUAGUCGGCUAGAGUUGAGCAGUCCCCCUAGGGUUGAGUGGUCCCCACUGGGUUAUAGUAUUUAAUCCAAUGGUUAGAAAUAAUAAAAAGGUUGAUCCAAAGGCUAAAAAACUGGUAGCAACAAUGAGAUUUUGCUACUAAUAGUAGCCCAGUCUAACUCUAUAUAUAUAUAUAUAUAUAUAGAAUUGAGCUCCUAUGCUUUUAAAAGUACCAAGCUAUUGGUGCUUGUAGAUUUUUAGCCAUUGGAUUAAGAGAUAUGCGGUUAGGAUGAUGUGGGCCCCCUAGGGUUGAGUGGGUGGUUGGUUGAAUAGUAUAAUCUAAUGGUUGAAAAUGAUCCAAGGGGUAGAUCUAAUGGUAAAAAACUUACAAGCACCAAGUGCUUUGUGCUUUUACAAGCACCAUAGGUGGACUAUAUAUAUAUAUAUAUAUAUAUAUAGAGUUUUGCUAGAAUACUAUAGGUAGUAAACGGCUUGGUUUACUACCGAUUUGUUUUCGAUGAUAGAGCUUCCAAAUUGAUGAUUGACACCGUUAAAAAUGAUCUAAACUGUUUAAACUAUCUGGAAAUCAAAUUUCACACAUUUUCGAUAUUGUUCUCUUGUCCAUCAAGUGAACAGAAAAAUGAAUGGCUGAAAUGAAUAUCCUUCAAAAAGUGAUGAUACAAUUUUUAUAUUUGAGAUCUAGAGUCUAGAUCUUAUUUUAAAUAGUUUAAAGAAUUUUUUAACAAAAAUUUAGUUGAUUUGAACUCUUCUAUACCGUUAAACGAGCAAACGCAUCAUAUCGGCCAUUAAAAUUAUAGAUUUUGUGACCCUUUGAUCGUUCAGUUAGUGAUGCCAAAAAAUCAUGAAAUUUGAUUUCUAGAUAAUUUGAAUGGUCUAAAUCAUGUUCAACGGUGCCGAUCGUCGAUUUGGAAGCUCUAUCAUAAAAAACAAAUCGGUAGUAAACUGAGCAGUUUACUACCGAUAGUAGUCCAGUCAAACUCUCUCUCUCUCUCUCUCUCUCUCUCUCUCUCUCUCUAUAUAUAUAUAUAUAUAUGAUAUUAUUUGCGGAUUUAUAGGUGUAAUAUUGAUACUGACAUUUUUGGAGUUAUAUAUGUGAUAUUUUUAAAGUUUUAAGGGAAACACUUAAAGUGUGUUUAUUUUACUGAAAUUGGACAAAGGUGAAUAGUUUUCGAGUGUAAAUAUCUAUUUUUAUUAUUUAGUUUAUCAUAACUUCAUCUUCGGUUGUGACUCAAACUCUCCAAAAUAACGUAAUUAUCUUCGGUCCACUGCAGGCCGAUGUCAAUUACCAAAAAAAGGUGAGAAACAAAUAGUAAAAUAUUAACUCAUCUAUCAUACCUCCAGCAUUUAUAUCAUUUAUUUUCUAUCAAACAAACAAUACAAUUGGGAGAAUUUUAGCCGCAUAGUUAUACAAACAAAUAGUGAAACUGAACUUUUGGUUGAAAUGAAGUUUAGAUGAAAAUCACUUUUCCUCCGCUGUUUAUUUUCACAAGGAUAGAAGUGAAGUUUUUUCAGCUCUACUAUUUAUUUCGGAGGAAGUAUAUGAUGUAUAAAUAAUAAAUAACUUAAUAAAUAAUAAAUAAAAAUAAUAUAAUUAUAUUUUAUAUAAUUAAAAAUUUUAAUUUAAAACAACUAAAUUAUUUUUUAUACAUAAAUAAUAAUAAUACAACAAAAUAAAUUCUAAAGUAAAAAAAAUAUUAAUGCUUAACUAAUCAAUUUUCAUCACAUUUUAAAUGUACAAAUUAAAUAAAAAAUACUAAAAUUUAAUUAAUUAAAAAAAUAAUUAGUAUCCUAACUAAAUAUAUUUAAAUAUAACAGCAUUACUCAUUGUAUUAUUUUAUUAGUUUUUCCUUCAUCUCUCUUCACCAUAAUUGAUUUCGGCCUAGGAUAACUCGAGUUUUGAUUCGAGUUAAUUCGACUUAGGAUAGACUAAGGUCAAUUACAUUGUUUCGGAUUACUCGCGUUUUGGCCGUAUCCUUCUUACGACGGUCCAAACAGCAAAAAUGAUCGUGUUUACUGCAAAAAAUGACUUCACCCCUCUCGACUUUUACCUAAACAAAGAGCCCCUUAACAUUGCUCCAAUCUAAAAUAAGAAAGUAAACUUUACGUAUAAACCCCUAGAAAUUAUCUUUUCCAUAUUUAGUCCCCCCAAAGUCACAAGAGGCAAUCAUUAAUUGCGAAUUGAAUAAGGAAAGAAAAGGCCAAAAUAGCUUCUUUAUUUAUUUAUACCAUUUUAUAUUAAUAUAAUUUACUAAAUUUCACUACUAAUUCCAGAUCUUUUUAUUCAAAUUUCAAUUUGGUCCCUGAAAUCUUAUAAAUUACACACACGAUAUCGCCAAAGUUUCUGUAGUGCCUUAAGUGCAGUAAUCAUCUCCGAGAAAAAAUUAUUGUAUACGUAUAUCAUAUUUCGUAUCCUAUUAUGAAUUAUACGUAGCAAAAAUUUUAUAAUUGAAUUGUAAAAUGAAAUAUAUGAAGGAUUGAUAGAUUCGUCUCGAAUUUCAAAAGAAAAAUGCUAAGUUUACAACGCAAAAGAUCCCUCGUCCAAGGGGUUGUAGAGUUUACAAAAUUUUUUAAAGAUUUUAGUUAAAAGGAAAAUGAUAUGACAAAUUUUUUUUUUAAAAAAUAAGCAUUUGAAUGAAUAAAGUUAUAAAAUUAUAAUCCAAAAUAGGUUGUAGGCGGAGGAUUGGUCAUUUCAAAAUAUGGCUUAUUUCUAGCAAGUGUUGAGAUUUUAAGUGUGGAUUGUAGUAAUUGUUUAUAAUCUUUUAUUGAGUUAUCCGUCAAUUAAAUUAGGAAUUUUUUUUCGAAUUCGCCAAAAUUUGCGUCAAAUUAUAUAAUUUUAAUCACUUCUUAACAAAAAAAAUCAUACUAGUUAACGACUAAUAGUUCAAAAAAGAAAAACUUGAGGGGCCUCUUUCACUAAACACUAUAGUUGAGGGGUCUCAUGCAUUUUUACCAACUCUUGGUCAAACUUUUGGGAACAAGUAGUGCAAAAACAUUUAUGGCUAAAUUAUAACAAAAAUAUCUUGCACUUUAGUUUCAGUCUUAAUUAUUUGUUGCAUUAAAAGCUGCAUUAAUUACCACCAAUAUUUUACUACUUUAUCAAAAAUAGAUCCAAAAAUUUUAAAAAUUGGUAAAUUAGACUGUAAUACAUCACUAAACAAUUUAUUGAACAAUUUGUUCAAUUUAUGUAAUUCAAUUGUAUUACUUUUUGAUAACUUUAUGUAUAUAAAAAUCUGCUUUAACAAAAGUUUGCGGGUGAAUUCAACAAUUGUUCAUGAUAACCGAACAUAUUUGAGACAACGAUAAAAAUAUAAAAGGAUAAUUAAUGUAAUUUUGUAUGCUGGGGAGAUAGUUGAUGCAUACACUAAAGUGUAAGAGAAUUUUUUAUAUUUUAGCUAAAAAAAGAGAGCGGAGUUGAGAAAUAAGGGUGACUAACGAGGACGUAGACGAGGGAGGCGAGGAGGAUGGUGCGGAAUCGGCCGAGGAACGAGUCGGCGACGAGGGCGCCGAGGAGGGGGAGCAUCGAGGCGACGCCGCUCCACGUGUUUAUCGCCGCCGCCGCCGCCGCCGUCCCCUCCCCUAGUGGCCCCGUCAGGUAUGUUAUCAGGUUCGCCGAUAUCCCGUAGAACGCAAAUCUCUCUGUAAUCUCCACACCUUCAAAUUAAUUAUUCUAUUUUUAGUUAUUCACCACAUAUCCACAAUUCGGAAAAAAAAAAAAAGGUCAACUUGUUUUGUUUCCUCAUAUAUAUUUUUUAAAAAAAUCCAAACUAAGUGUUAAUGAAAUGUCAAUCAGUGAUUAGACGGCGAAAAAGUGAAAACUACGAAUAGAUCUAGAGAGAGAAAGAAAAAAGAAAAAUAAUUACCGAUGACGAAGAGGGCGGAGGUCCAGCCGCCGGAUUCGGAGCGGGAGACGGGGCGGCCGCGGAAGUCGACAGCGCCGACGAUUUUGGGGGAUUGUUGGGGAAGCAGGUUGAGAUUGAGGAGGGGGUCGUCGAAAUCCAUCGUGAUGCGCUUCCACUCUCUAUUUCUUUAUCUCACUAUUUCUCUCUUUUUCUCUCUCUCUCUCUCUCUCUCUCUCGUACUUACUUUACUGCACUAAUGCAGCAAUAUCGUUUCCUCUGCAGUUGUUACUGCUUUUUAAGGGAGAGAAUUUUCCUUUUUUAACUUUUUCUACUUGUGAUGUAAUGUGAUUUGGAAAGAUAUGGACACGUGUCUGAUGUUGAUCGGUUUGGUUUUCGAUUUUUUUUAGAAAAAAAUGGUACGCAAUCCGUUUGGAGGAAUGCUUAUGAAAUUGCCCCUAAAAUUUUGUACGAUAUUUAUAAAAUUUUUAAUUUUACAAAAGUAUUUAUGAAAUUUCUAAAUUUAGAGGGAUGCUUAUGAAAUUGCCCUUAAAAUUAAUUCUAUUUAUUUUCCUUAGCUAGGAAUAAGGGAUUCCCCAAUCACAUACAUAAAACUUAGCUAAAAUAUAUAUAGGUCAUUCUAAUUCGACUAUCCAACCUUUCAAAAUUUUGAUUUUGGUAUCCAACGUUCAAUUUGUUUGAUUUAAGUAAUUUGAUAACUCUUUGGAUAUAACAAUUGCUUAUUUUAAUAAAUUUAUAAUUAUGUAAAUUAUAUAAAAUAUACUAACUAUAUCCGUAAAUAUAAAUAACGCAUUCAAAUUUAGAAGUUAAAAAUUAUUAAUUGACUCAAAUUUAAAAAAAAUUAAAAUUUUAGAUAGCAAUCAAUAUUUUUAAAGAUAGAUAGUUGAAUCUAAACCGGUGAUAGUUGAGAUGAUUUUAUACAAUUUUACCCACAGUUUAUACUGAGUGAAAAAUGUUGUUAUCAGCAGUGUUGAUACAUGAAAAUGAAGGGAAAAUUAACUAUGUAUCCCUCAAAAUUUUUGAAAUAUCUUAUGUAACCCCUACUUUUUUUUUUGUUUUAAAUAUAUCCUUCGUAUAUUUCUCUAUUAUUUAAAAAUAACUCGCUUUUAGUACCCAUUAAAUUAUUCCAAGUUAAACCCGGAUUAAAUUUUUACCAGAGUUAAAAAAAGUCAAAAUACCUAUUUUGUCCCUAACUUACUAAUCUAUUUUCUUACUUUCUUAUUUAUCCCGCUUAGAAGGCUUUAUAUGAAAAAUAUUCUUCAAAUGUUUCAAGUUCUUUUAAAUUUACUCCUUGAAAAGUGGGUGAUAGUAGAAGAGAAUAUUUGAAUAAUCAAAAUAGUAAUAUUACAGAGACGGCGAUUGUUCAUAAUGGUUCACUAACAGAAUCUAAUUUUAGAAAUAUAUUUAACAAAACUCGAAAUGUUAGAGGAGUAUUUUCAUAUUAACCUUUUAAGCGGGAUAAAUAAAAAAGUCUGAAAUUUUUCAUGGGUAUAUAAGCAAUUACCCCUUAAUUGAACGUUGCUAGGUGGUAUAUCUUUUCAGUAUAACCGGAUUUGCUGUAGUCGUGUUAUAUUGUAAUGAAAAAUGCUACAUGUACACCUCUUUAUAGAGUGUGCAUCUUAAACUCCUUUAGUCCAAGAGUUUAAACAAUUGAAAAGAUUUUUGGUAUUUUUUUUUUUAAAAUUUGAUGUUACAAAGUAAGAGAACAAACGAAAUCUGAUCAAGAUAUUUGUGUAAUUAGUUAGUUCACUUGAAGAGCAGAACCGAUUAAACUACUUGAUAAAAUUUUUAAAAUUUUUUUUAUUAAAAUUGAAAGUUCAGACGGUUAUUUGCAACCUAAAGUUAAGCAGGUCACCAUGUUAAGUGGUUUUUCUUUUUCUUUUCUUUUUUUUUUUUCCAAGAAGUGACAUAAUAUUGUCAAAAUAGUUUAAGUUAUCUAAUGACCCAACUCACUAGUAUUAAGGGCUCAACCACCAGCCCAAAAUAUUUAAGCCUAGUUAUUAUGUUUAACCUAGUCAAGCUUAUAUACUUUCACAUUUAGUCAUAACUAUCCGAUUUGGGAUUAUUAAGGUGUUAUAGGUUAUUACCUGAGUAUAUUGGAUAUUUUUAAAGCUUUGAAAAAUAUAUUACAUAUUAUCUUUUUUAAUAUUUUUUGAAUUUCUUUGUCAUUGUUCCAAAAAUACCUGACAACUAAACACGCAUGUGCAGGCUUAGGGAGCACUAAUCUUCUGCUAUCUAAUAAGGGCUUUAUUUUAUAUUUUAUGUUUUAUUUUAUUUUAUUUCAUUUUUUUGAUCUUCUUCGUAUGAUCCGAGGCUUCAGAUCGCCGCUGAUCGGGGAUGGUCUAGGUGAGCUACAGUACUUCUCAAAUCUUGUCGCUAAUAUCUCCCUAUCUGCUGAGGAGGAUUCGAUUGCUUGGAGAUGGAAUAGAGAUGGGAAAUUCUCUGUCCACAGUGUCUACAACUUUCUCAUCUUUGGGGGAGUCAUUGAUAGCAGGAUCCUUUACAUAUGAAAAUUAAAAAUACCACUCAGGAUCAAGUUUUUUCUUUGGCUGGCCUCAAGGAAUAGGGUUCUAACGGCGGAUAAUUUGUCCAAGCGUGGCUGGCAGAGACCUUCGAUAUGUGCUCUUUGUCGCAAGAAUGAAGAAAAGCUGGAACAUAUACUAUUUGAAUGCAAGUUCGCAGUGCACCUGUGGACCAUUCUCCUAUAAGGCAUGCCGAAUACUGCACACACUCUGUUAAACCAACCAGCCGACCUUCAGUCCAGAUGGAUCUGAGCAAGAAAGACACAAUCUGGACACAAAAAUCCUCUUUGAUUUAGGCUUUGCUGCGACUUGUUAGGAACUAUGGAAAGAAAGAAACUUUAGAAUAUUUGAAAAUCGAGAAGCGGAAUGUGGGGAUGUGGGUAACAAAAUCUUUUCAUCUGUUAUUCUUUGGAUCUCUUUUCUGACGGGAUAGUGAGCAACAAAGGUGUAUUCACACUAUGGCGCUCUACUGACGUCCCUGUUUGAUGUACUUUCUCAAAUAGGGGGGCCCCCUGUUUAAUCAAAAAAAAAAAAAAAAAAUUUUUACAGAAUUGAUUUUGAUUUACAGAGUUGAUUUUUGGUUAAAAAUGAUUGAGGGUUUGGCUGAGCCUAACAACAAAGUAAUUUUUCUGAAAUGAUUUUAUAAAGCUGUUUAGUAAAUAUAUUUAUUGUUUGCAUCUAAUAAGUUUUUUUGCUAGUUUUUAUUUUAAAGUUUGAACCAAAAUUUUGAAUUUGACUUAAUUUUUUUAAAAUUUUAAAUUUUAAACGUUGAGAAAAAUUUAAAAUUUGUUAUUGAAUUUAAAAUUUUAAAUUAAAAUUAAAAUUUUAAAUUUUGAAAAUUUACAAAUUUCAAAAUUUAAAUCUAAAUUUAAAAGUUACAAAAUUUUAAUUCUAACUUUAAAGUUUAAAUUUAAAUAUAGUUAUAGAUUUAAAUUUAAAUUUAAAAUCUGAAUUUAAAUUUAAAAUUAAAUUUUGAUUCUAAGAUUUAAACUUUAAAUUUUAAUUUCGAGUCCAAAAUUAGAAUCGGAUUUCAAAAAGUAGAUUUUAGUUGCUUCUAAUUUUGGGCCUUUUAAAUUAGAAAACUGAUUCUAAAAAUCAGAUCAGAUUUUGAAAAUGUGUCCAAUUUUAAAUCCUACAUUUAGUAGUCUCUUUCGACAUAGCCAAACACCCUAUUGAAGGAAAGAUCACUUUUGACCCUAAAAUCACUUUUCAGAAUCUAAACCAAACAUCCCCUAAGUUAGAAAUUAUUUUAUUUUGUUUGAAGGCUGUCUGUUCUAAUGUAAAAGAAGAUAAAGUCAUCUCAGAAAAAAAAAAGUUGCAGCAGGGAAAAGCUGUCAAAUUUACCACUGUCAUUUGGUUGUUUGGUUGUCAAGAUCCAACAUUUACAUUUUAAUGGAUCUAAUAUUAUUAUUUCAUUGUUUGUGAUUCUGAUUCAACAUAAUUGAAUUUGAAUCAAAUGGAGGAAAUAUAUUGGUUAAUUAUGGUUCAACCAAGUUCAUCCCUUUGGGAGGAAAUAUAUAGCAAUAUACACACCAAUGAAACACCUAAAACCAAGAAGAUUUUACAUUAUGAAAACAUGUUUUUACAGCUUAAAUAAAUAAAUACACAUUAAACUGAGAAAAAAAGAAUUUAUAAGACAGAGAACAUAGCUAGAAAUAUUUGUCACCAAUUUGAAUGUUCAUAAUAACCACAUUACCGCCUUCUAACUUUCCUAAUCUCUUUAUCUUAUAUAUAGAGAGAGUUGAGCUCAUGUGCUUUUAAAAGCACAGAAAUAUUUGUGCUGCACACAUGUUUCUGUGCUUUUAAUAGUGCUGCACUGAUCUUGAGGCGAUGGGACAAUUAAAAAGUUACAUAUGUGCUUUUAAAAGCAUAGGGGCUCAUCUCUCUCUCUCUCUAUAUAUCAGUAAUGUUCUUCUUCUUCUUGUAUGCAUAGGCUUGUGCAAAGUAGAGAUAAACAAUCAGCUCCACAGCACUAAGCCCAGCAAGAAGCCAGUAGAAGUAGUGGAGAUGCGCGCGGUUCAAAUUGUUCGGGAACCAACCAUCGCCGCUGCUCUUCGUCGUUUUGUCGAUCACGGAUAUGAGGAAGCUACUUAUGAAGCUCCCUAUUCCGAAAAUGCUCAAGUACAGGGCGAGACCGAGGCUUCGCAACGUAUCAGGCACUUGGUCGUAGAAGAACUCCUGUAGUCCGACCAUUGUGAAAACGUCCGCGACGCCGAAAAGGACGAAUUGAGGAACUAUCCACCACAAACUCAUCGGAAUCGCGGCUUUUGGCUGGUCCACCAAACCAAAGUCUCGAGCGGUUUUGAUCCUUUUCGUCUCCACCAGUGCCGCUAUUACCUGUUGAUCGCAUAAAGAUAGAAAAACAUCGUUCUCUAGUAACUUUAACUUUUUACAUAUGAUAGACGAUUUUGCAGGGAUAUAUAUAUGUGUAUAAAACCCAGAUCAACGUAGAUCAAGAUUUUAGACAAAAAUAAUUAUUUAUCGUUACCAUCGAUAUCAUCGAAAGGACCAUCCCCGUGCCGAUUCUUUGAAGCAUAGUGAUUCCCGCGGGGAUCCCCGUGAAUCUUCUGGAAACUGGGACGAGUAUUCGGUCGUAUAUGGGAAUGAAUGUGACAAUAGAGAGACUGAUGAAACUUUGCAGUGCGGCGGGGGGGACUUGGAACUUCGAACCGAUUCUUCGGUCUAACGUGCUCGCUUGCUUUAUGAAGAAGGUCGACGAUUGUGCGAAAACAACACCGUAUAUCAAGCAAGUCGCCCAUAUAGGGAACAAUCGGAGGACAGCCUUCGCUUCUUGUAAAUUGUCGUCGUUAUCGGUGCCUCGAUCUCCCUCACUCGAAGCCCUACAUGACGAAGCGGAGUUAGUUUUAGCAUGAAGGUUAUGGAACAGUGAGCUACCGCGUAAAAAGGAACAUUUUAAGAUCUCGAGAACUUAUACUUGGUAGCUCGGAAACUUCUAAUCCACGCCACGAAAGCUUUCCCUAUCCGAGCACACGGGCUCUCCUCAUCAAGAACGUAGUAUCGGUAUGUCCUCGUCCCGAGCAAAAAGACGACGAGAGCGGAGAACAUGAUGAUGCAUGGGAUCCCGAACCCUAGCCCCCAUCCAAUGUUGUCUUGGAUGUAGCUUAACACUAUAAGUGUCACCAUCGUGCCGGCGCACAAUCCAAAGUACCACCAGUUGAAGAACGAGCUCUUGGCGAUGCGUUCCUCGGGGUCGGUCUCGUCGAAUUGGUCCGCACCAAACGCCUGAACGCACGGCUUGUGGCCGCCCUGCGCGAGGGCCACUAAGUAGAGGGAGACGUAAAAGAAGGCGACUUUGAAAGACGAAUGCACGCAUUUGGUUCCGUCGAUAGCAUCGCGAUCGCAUCGCGAUAGAACGGAGGACAAGGUCAGCAUUCCCAGGGCCUGCAGGUAGCUCAAAUUUUGUUACAUAGAAAUGGAGGUAACAAAAUGUAUAUAAAAAAAAAUGUUCUGUAUAUUGUAGAUGCUUUGGAAGGCGAAGAACAAUUUAAACAUGUAUUUUAUGCACAUUUGAAAAUGUUUUUUUUUUUUUUUUUGGUGGCAAUUGAGUGAUUUUUACAAACGGAAAUAAUUUUUUUUAAAAAAAUUCAUGUGUGAAGGAUCUCAUGUGUGAAGGAUCUUAGUUGAAAAACUUUUAACUACGAAUAACAACCCAAAUAAAAAGUCUAAAGUCAAGGGAUCAUAAUAAAAUAAAAAAAGUAAUUAGAGAUGUUUAUUUCAAGCCUUAUAAGAGUACUCAUAAAAUUGUCCCUUUAAUGGUCAAAAAUAUUACUCCUACCUUUUAGAGGUAAAUUCAUCAUUUAAUAAACAAAAAUAUUAAUGGUGAUAAUUUUCUGCAUCCGAAGAGAUAGAAACGAUUUUUUAAACUUUCUAGUGAUAUUUAAAAAAUUUAUAAAUUUUAGAAGUAUUCCGAUAAAAUUACUCUUUUUUUAAAAAAAGAUAUUAUCGUAAAAAGUAAAGUUAUUAUCUUCUAUAUACCUACAAAAUUUUUAAUUUUUUUUGUUUGGUUUAGUAUAGUUACGCUUAAUUGUAGCAGUUGGACGGAAGUCAACUCACCCAUUCAAAGAAAAAAGGUAAUUUUUUUAGCUAAAUUACAUAAACCCCUCUGUCAAAACCUAAUUUUUCACUUUCUCUCCUGUCAUUUAAAAACCUACACUUUGUCCUCUUGUAAAAUAAAAAAAAGGUCACAGGGAGUACGGUGGAAACUGUGAUGACAAAAUAACCAUUUUGUCCCUCACUAUUUUUUGCAACAGGAGAGAAAACUGAGAGCAUUUUUGGCAUAAAAAAAUAUAUAAUAAUAUUUUAUAAACGGAACCCUAACAGAUCACUAACGGUAGGGGGUGAAGUGAACAUUUUUUAUUUUAUAAGGGGGCAAAGUAUACGUUUUUAAAUGACAAGAAAAGAAAGCAAAAUAUCGAGUUUUAACAGGGGUUUUUUCUAUAAUUUAACCUUUUUUUUUUUUUUUUUUUUUUUCGUAAGCUUCACUUUUUUUCAUUUUAAGUAUGACCUAACAUGAGUUUUAUUUUAUCUUUCCUAUCUAUCUAAAAAAUGGUAGAAUUUAUAAAUACAAAUUAGCCUACCAAACAGUAAAAAAUAUAACUGCAGUAGUUGCAACUGUAUAGAACCAAACAAACUAGUUGUAGUUACGACGGCAGUAUUUGCAACUGCGCAUAUAUUCAAUUACACUAUUUUUGCACUACGUCUAACCAAACAGCCCCUAAGAAGUUGUGUGGUCAGAUGUAAUUAGAAAUGCAUUAUAGCUGGAGAUCAAUGCAGUUGAAAAAUGGAGUAUUUAUAACUACAUACAUUUUAUUUGGACCUUUUUUGAAAUAACCCUAUAGAAUUUUCUAAUUGGAUAAAUAAUCCUAUAAAUUUUUUUUUUGACAAACUAACACUCGUUUUGCCAUGUAGGAGGCAUGAUAAAAGAUGGUGAUUCAUUAACCGCCUCCACGAAGGCGGUUAACGAUUCACUGUCUUUCAAAUUUUUUCACAAAAAUGAUGAAUCAUUCAUUAUCUUUCCUUUAAUAUGUAUAUGUUUCUUUCUAUUUUUAUAUAUAAUUUUGACAAUCAUAUAAAAUUUUUAAUAAAUUACAUAAAAUUUUAAUAACCUAAAAAAUACUAAUAAUCUAAAACAAAAUUUCUAAUAAUCCACACAUAAUUCUAACAAUCUCACAUUUUUCUAUCUCAUAUAAUAUAAUCCUAACAACCAUAUAAAACUUUUGGCAAAUCGCAAAUAAUCUUGAUAACCUAAAAAAUCAUAACAAAUAUUUUUAAGAAGACGGUUAAUGAUUUACCGUUUUUAGUAAAAAAAAAAUUAUAAAGACAGUGAAUCAUUCGUCUUUUUAAAGGCAGUAAACGAUGAACGAUUGAUUGCUUUUAAAAGAAAAUUCCACCCAUGCACUAACUUGGCAAAAGAAUAGUUAUGUAAUUAAAUAUUUUUUUAGGAGAAUCAUUUAGCCCAUUAUAAUAUUUUUUAGGAUUAUUUGGAAAAAAAAUCCUCUUAUUUCGUUGGGUAUAACAAAACAUAUUAUAAUUAUAAAAAAAAUAUUUAAUUACAUGCAGUUAAGAAGUGUAUUUUUAAAAUUUUAUACGUGGCAAGUGGCAAAGGGUUUGGUGGUUGGUACCUGAGACCAAGUUCGAACCCUAAUUGAUUCACGUUUCCAGCUAAGUUUAUUUCUAAAUGAAAUAAACGAAACGGGUAGCACGCUACCUAUUUCUCAAAAAAAAAAAAAAAAAAAAACUAUUUUACAUAUGUGUGAUGGUAAGAUCACCUUCAACAUGGAAAAGAAAAAUAUGUUUUUGUUCGCAAACUAAUAAGAGAGGUAAGCUCAUCUUUUGUUCAAAGUUACUCUUCUUAAUUACUGUAGCUGGAAUUGUGUCGAAUUUGAUCAUAAUUUUAACUACAGCAGUUAGGCCUAUUCAUGCAAUUUCAGCUGUAUCAAAUGGAUUAAAAUAUAUCAAUUAAAUACUAAAUUUGAAUAUAUAAAUAAUAACAACUGCAGUACAAUUAUAAUUAUAUGCAAGGAUGAUUGGGACAAAAAAUUUGAUGGGCAUCGGCCCCAAACAACUUGUUUGGGGGCAGAACCGAUGGGCGCCGUGUGGUGUGCGGCGCCCAUCGCGACCCUCGAAAACGGAAAAAAAAAACAUGUGGGCUCCGAUCUUUUAGAGAGAGGGAGAGAGAAAGAAGCCGGUGGUGGAAGGGGGGUGGUCGCGAUGGGCGCCUGUACACCACGCGGCGCCUAUCAGCUCCGUCCUUGUUUGGGGAUAGAUGCCCACCAAAUUUUUGUCCCGAUGAUUGUUCCUAAUGUUGACACUAAAGUAUGAAUCAUCUGAAUCUAAUUAUUAUUUUUUGAUUGAUUUGAUCAGAUCCAAAUAACCUUGCACUCUGCACGCAUUAAAGAUGACUUGUUGACAUCAAUUUCCUCAUUGAGAGUACCCACCAACAACUAAAAUAUCAGCAGAGUUUUUGCGCAUUUGUGGGUCCAUAUAUUAGAUGUAUUGAUGCGUCCAUGUUUUCUCACACACAUACACACACACACACACAAAGGCUGUGUUUGGUUCGGAUAUAAAUAAGAACUGCUUAUUUCAUAAAUAAAUACAAGUUCUGAUCUGAGCAGAAACUAGAAAAGUUUGCGUUUGGAUAAAAAUUAGGUUGUUUUUAGGAAUAAGAUAAAUAGUAUUUAGAUAAUUAGAUUGAAACAAGGGAAUAAGAGUUAUAAUUUUAAAUUAAAAUUAUUUUAUCUAAUUAAUUAACAUCAAAAUAUUACUUAAAAAUGAUUUAAUAAACUAAUAAAUUUAUUAGCUAUGAAUAUUAUAUAAGAUAAUAAAAAAAUAUUAAUUAAUUAAUUAAUUAUAAAAAAUAAUUUAAUUUUUUAAUUAGUUAGUAAAUUAUUUUAGCUAGAUAACUAGUAAAAAAAUUAAUUAAAUUAAUAGAAAUAUUAAUGGUUGAUCAAUAUAAAUAUUAAUUCGAAUAAAUAUAUUAAAUUAUUAAUAAUUAAUUAUAAAUAAUAAAUUAAUUAAUUAUUUUAUUAUUUAAUAAAUAUAUAAUGAUUUAAAUAUAGUAAUUAGAUUAAUUAAUGAUUUAAUACCAUAAUUAAAAUUAAAUUUAAACUUUAAUUAAUCUUGUUCCCUUCUUGGAGUAAGCUUGUUUUAGGAAAAGGAUGGAACAGUAGUUCUAGUCUUAUACCAGAUUAUUCUAAAAAAUUAAGAACUACUGUUCUCGGAUAUCAAAUACUGUGUUUGAAAACAAAGUGGGGAACAAGGACUUAUUCCCCCGUCUUGUUUCCGAACCAAACAAUGCCAAAAGGUCCCUGUAACGUUUCUAAAUAAGGCAAGAUUAAUUUUCUUUUUCAUUUAAUUUUUGCUAAUUUAACAAGGCAUAAUUGGAACGUCAUUUGCCUAAAUCGUAUGCACUUGAAACACUACAAAAUCGACGUACAUUAAAAAACCUUCCGAAAUUGUCAAAAUCAAAAACUCUAUUCAAAAUUUAAAAAAAAUUAUCAAAACUUUCUAUGUUCCUAACAUUACAUUAAAAAAUAUGACUAAUACUAAUUUUACUCCUCCAAUUGAUUGUCAUCUUUUUCCACGAAUAACAAGAUAAAUUGGACAUUAUCAAUUGAAAUAGAUACAAAGUUAAAAAAGAUGAUGGCAUAAAUUAAACAAAAAAUUAUUCAAAUUAUAAACUGAAUUAAAGAAAGUUGUCCUAAGUUAUAUAAAUUGAAUAAAAAACUAUUAAAUUAUAUGAUAGUUAGCUAUAGUAAGGGAUAAAUAAGUUUUUUUUUUUUAUUUUCUAACUCCUAUAAAAUUCUAACGAAAAUUAAAGAGAAGUGUUUAUAUACGAUAUUAUUUGUGGAUUUAUAGGUGUAAUGUUGAUACUGACAUUUUUGAAGUGAUAUAUGUAAUAUUUUUAAAGUUUUAAGGGAAACACUUAAAGAGUGUUUAUUUCACUGAAAUCGGACAAAGGUGAAAUAGUUUUCGAGCGUAAAUAUUCAUUUUUAUUGUUUAGUUUACUGUAACUUCACAUUCGGUCGUAACUCAAACUCUCCAAAAUAACGUAUUUAUUUUUGGUCCACGUCAAUUACCAAAAAAAAAGUGAGAAACAAAUAGUAAAAUAUUAAUCCAUCUCUCAUACCUACGGCGUUUAUGUCGUUUACUUUCAUAAACAACAGAAUUGAAAGAAUUUUAGUUUUAUUGUUAUAUAAAUAAACUGUAAAAGAAAUUUAAUUUUACCUAAACUCUAGUUCAUCCUAAUAUCUACUUCAACAUAGGCUUAACAUUACUUCAAUCUAGAAUGAGAAAGUAAACUUUACCUACCAACCCCCGAAAAUUAUCUUUUCCAUCUUUAGUCCUCCUAGAGUCACCAAAGAAAUCCGUUAUAGGGCCCGUUUGGUUCACCGUAAAACUGUAAAAAAUAAUUCAUAAAAAAAUUUUGAUGGAAAAAAAUUUUUACAUUUUGUAAUGUUUAGUUUGUAAAAAAAAAAAAAUAGUUUUUCAUCAAUCUUUAUUUUUCAAAGAAAAAAAUAUUCACAUUUUCUUGGUUCGGUGAAAAAAAAAUUGAAUGGAAAAGUUUUACCAGCUCGAGUUUUCAUUUUCCGUCGAAAAACAGUAAAAAUAAUUUUACGAAAAAAAUAUUUUUACGUCGAAUCAAAUAAGCGAAAAAUAUUUCUCAUACCGAAAAUAUUUUUUUGAUUUGUUUUAUGCGGAACCAAAUGCGCCCUAAAGCGAAUUGAAUAAGGAAAGAAAAGGCCAAAAUAGAAAAUAGUUCCACAGCGGGGGUGAAGUACAAAUUAUUAGCUGGACUUAGAAAAAAAAAAUAUUUUUCUUUCAUACUAUUUUUCAUUUAUUUAUACCACUUUAUAUGAAUAUAAUUUAGUAAAUUCCACUAAUAAUUCCAGAUCUUUUUAUUCAAAUUUCAAUUUGGUCCGUGAAGUUUUUAAAAUUACACACGCCAUAUAUAUCGCCAAAGUUUCUGUAGUGCCUUUAAUAGGGAUGUCAAUGAGUAUGGAUAUCCGAAAUUUUAUCCGAACCUGAACCCGAAUGAAACGGAUAUAUCCGAUGGAUAUGGAUAUGGAUAUAAAAAAUAGAAACCCGACGGAUAUAGAUUCGGAUAUGAAUUUUGAUUGUACCCGACCCGAACCCGAAUCCGACCCGAACCCGACCCGAACCCGAAUUUAUUUUGUAUUAUAUAUAAUAUAUUUAUAAAAAUUUGAUGUUAUAUUUGAAUUUGUAUUUUAAAAAUUCAGAUUUAAUAUAAUAUUUUUUGAAAUAUUGAAAAAAGAAAUAAUUGUUUCGGGUUCAAAUUUUCAGGUUCGGGUUCGGGUUCGGAUUUCGAAUUUUUGGUCGGGUUCGGGUUUGGAUAUGGAUUUUUAAAAUUCAUCGGGUUCGGGUUCGGUUUCGGGUCUCGGGUUUAGAGUCGGGUUCUCAUCUUGGAGAAAAAAUUAUUGUAUACCUAUCUCAUAUUUCGUAUCCUAUUAUGAAUUAUACGUAGUAAAAUAUUUUACAAUUGAAUUAUAAAAUGAAAUAUAUGAAGGAUUGAUAGAUUCAUCUCCAAUUUCAAAAGAAAAAUACUAAGUUUACAACCCAAAGGGUCCCUCGUCCAUGGGGUCGUAGAGUUUACAAAUUUUUUUAUAAUUUUAGUUAAAAAGAAAAUGAUAUGAUAAGUUUUUUUUUUUAAAAAAAAAGCGUUUGAAUGUAUAAGAUUAUAAAAUUAUAAUUCAAAAUAGGUUGUAGACCGAGCAUUGCUCAUUUCAAAAUUAAUACAGUUUAGAUCUAGCAAGUGUUGAGAUUUUACGUGUGAGUUAAUUAUAGUAAUUGUUUAUAAUCUUUUACUGAGUUAUUCGUCAAUUAAAUUAGUUUUUUUUUUUUUCGAAUUCUCCAAAAUUUACGUCAAAUUGUAUAAUUUUAAUCACUUCUUAACAAAUAAAAUCAUACUAGUUGACGACUAAUAAUUGGAAAAGGAAAACUUGAGGGGCCUCUUUCACUAAGCACUAUAGUUGAGGGGUCUCCCUGUAUUUUUACCUAGCUCUUCGUCAAACUUUUGGGAACUAGUAGUGCAAAAUCAUUUAUGGCCAAAUUAUAUAAACAAAAAUAUCUUGCACUUUAGUUUCAGUCUUAAUUAUUUCUUGCAUUAAAAGGCGCAUUAAUUACCACCUAUAUUUUAUUACCUUAUCAAAAAUAUAUCUAAGAACUUAAAAAAUUGAUAAAUUAGACCGUAAUACAACGCUAAACAAUUUAUUGAACAAUUUGUUCGAUUUAUAUAAUUCUAUUGUAUUACUUUUCAAUAAAUUUAUGUAUAUAUAAAUCCGUUUAACAAAAGUUUGCAGUUGAAUUCAACAAUUAUCUCUAAACAUAUUUGGGACAACGAUAAAAUAUAAAAGAAUAAUUAAUGUAAUUUUUAUGAUUGGGAGAUAAUUGAUAUAGACGCUAAAGUGUAAGAGGAUUUUCUAUAAUUUAGCUAAAAAAAAAAUAGCGGAGUUGAGAAAUAAGGACGACUAACGAGGAUGUAGAGGAGGGAGGCGAGGACGAUGGUGCGGAAGCGGCCGAGGAACGAGUCGGCGACGAGGGCGCCGAGGAGGGGGAGCAUCGAGGCGGUGCCGUUCCACGUGUUUAUCGCCGCCGCCGCCGAUGCCGUCCCCUCCCCCAGCGGCCCCGUCAGGUACGUUAUCAGGUUCGCCGAUAUCCCGUAGAACGCAAAUCUCUCCGCAAUCUCCACACCUUCAAAUCAAUUAUUCUAUUUUUAGUUAUUCACCACAGAUCCCCAAUUCAGGAAAAAAAAAAAAAAGUCAACUGCUUUUUAUUUCCUCAUAUUUAUUUUUUUUAAAAAAUCCAAAGUAAGUGUUAAUGAAAUGUCAACUCAUAGAUUAGACCCCGAAAAAGUAAAAAUUUCGAACAGAUCUAGAGAGAGAAAGAGAAAAAAAAAAGAUUACUGAUGAUGAAGAGGGCGGAGAUCCAGCCGCCGGAUUCGGAGCGGGAGACAGGGCGGCCGCGGAAGUCGACGACGCCGACCAUUUUGGGGGAUUGUUGGGGAAGCAGGUUGAGAUUGAGGAGAAGGGGGUCGUCGAAAUCCAUCGUUAUGUGCUUCCACUCUGAAUCUCUUUCUCUCCCUCUUUCUCUUUCUUUUCUUUUUUUUUUUUUUUGGUGCUUACUAGAACUACAUUAAUGCAGGAAUGUCGUUUCCUCUUCAGUGUUAUUACUGUUUUUUAAGGGAGAGAUUUUUCCUUUUUUAACUUUUUCUAUUAGUGACGUGCUGUGAUUUGCGAAGAUAUGGACACGUGUUCGAUGUUGAUCGGUUUGAUGUUCGAUUUUUUUUUUUUUUUUUUGUUAAAAGAGGAUUAAUUUUAUAUAUGUCCCUGCAAAUAUAGUAAAUAAUAAAUAUAUUCCUACAAAGUUCAACUUUAAUAUAUUGUUUCUAUAAAAAUUUUAAUAUUUUCAAAUAUGUCCAUCUAAUUUGUUAUCGUUACAGAAUUGUUAGAAAACCGUUUAUAUUUUCAAUUUUGCCAUCACAAAUCUAUCUUUUCAAAAGUUAUACUAGUAUAAUAUAAAAGAAUAAAAAUGUCAAAAAACUAAUUAGAAUUAAGUAUUUAAUUUAUGGUUAACUAACUUUUUCUAACGGAUUCUAACGGCAGAGACAUAUUUGAAAACAUCAGGAUUUUUACAAAGACAACAUAUAAAAGUUGAACUCUGUAGGAAUAUAUAUUUAUUGUUCAUUAUGUAUACAUGGACAUGUAUGAAAUUAACCUAAAAUAGAAUAGCAUGCUAUCCUCUUCAUUUAUUUUUUUUUUAAAAAAUAAACUUAACUGACAAUUUGAAUCAACUAGAAUUUGAACUUGAAAUCUCGAGUAUCAACCACCAAGCCCUUUGAUACUUGCACGGGGACGGUCGGCACUGUUCGACUUCUCGAUGUAAGAAAACCAAUAACCUUGUGCCACGUGGUAAGUUGGCAAAAAUUUUGAAUGUUAAGUCAGCUGUAUCUUUAUUUAUUGUAAACAUAAAACAUGCAUAGAGAUUUCUUCAAAUUAUUCGAGACCACUUAUAUAUGGUUUGCACUAAUUAAAUAUUUUUUUAAAAAAAAUUUAUUUGUACAUUUUAAAAAGAGGACGUAGAUUUUACAUUUCUUAUUCUAAAGUUUAUAAAAAUUUAAAUAAUUUUAGUAAAAAAUAAAAAAAAUUGAUGUGACAAGUUAAAAAUUAAGUCCUUGGAUGGAGUAGGUAUAAAAUAUAUGCAAUAUUUUUUUUUUAUUUAUUUAUUUUUUUUUUGAGAGAUAGAUAGCACGGUACCCGCUUCGUCUAUUUCAUUUAGAAAACAAACUUAGCUGAAAAUGUGAAUCAACUAGAAUUCGAACUUGAGACCUCAGAUACCAACCAUCAAGUCCUUUGCCACUUACUUUAGGGACGAUCAGUAUAUACACAAUAUUUUGAAGUGCAUUAGUUGCAUUGCUUAUUUUUAAAAGCACAUCCUGAUUGGAAUUACGCAUUCAUCGUAUCAAUAAUCUCAAAAAGCAUGUACUAAUAUGAAGGACACAUUUAUCGCACAAAAAGGCUCAGCCACAACAUUCACGGAUUUUGACUUAACUCUAUUCACCUGAACGUUCAGUCAAUUGUUAGGUUUUUGUCAUUAGGCCUAUUAUGGAUUGUAAUCUCACUCAAUUUAUUAGACUCUUAGGCCUAUUGUCACGGGGCGUGAAGUUGGAUCUAAACCUAUUUUAGUCAAUAAUAAAUAGACAUGUAAUGGGUCAGUCACCAUGCUUACUGGCAUUGAGCAGACUCAAUUCAUCUGAAUGUUAGGUCAAUUGUUGGGUCUCUUAUCGUUAGGUUUAUUAUAAACUAUAGUCCCACUCAACUUAUUAGCCUACUGGAAAUAUUGUCACAAGCACGAAGUUGAACCUAUUUUAGCUAAUAAUGAAAGCCGAUAAUCUACCCAAGAUUCUGCAAUAGCACACCGAACUUUUCUUUUCUUUUCUUUAAAAUCAACACAUUCUAAACUUUUAUCUUUUUUAGAAUCAAAUGUUUUAACAAAAAAUUUGAGAGUUUUUUAUUGCAUUUAACAGUUUUAAUUAUUUUAUACCAAAUGAAAGCAUACUAAUUAAUUGGUAAUAGCCAAUUAAUUCCCUAAAUUUAAUUAAAUUUAAAAUUUUUUUCUUGGAUAACUAGAAUAACUCAAAUCAAAUAAAUCCAAGUUAAAAGAUAUAUAUAUCAAAAUAAUUAAAGUUGAGGGACCUGUUUCAGAAUAGCCUAUAAUUGAGGAUAUCUUCAUACAUUUUUACCCUAUCUUUAUAUAAUAAACAUCAUGUGAGAAACGAGGUGGAGUACAGAGAUUGUAAAAUAAUGAACUUAUUAAAAUUUAUAAUAUUUAGAAAUAAUUUCACAUGUAUUCCAGCAAAUAUAUAAUAUUACGGAUAGAGUUUUCUAAAGUUUAAGUUAUCAAAUUUGUUUCUUUAAAUGUUCCGACUCAUACAUAUUUUGCACUCUAGUAUGAUGUAUUUAAUUCAUUAUAUUUUUUAACAUUUAAUAAGUAAAACGACCAUAUUACUAAUGUAAUUUGUUCCUCCAAAUAUUGUCAACAGCUAGAAUAUGCAAGUAUAUUCUUUCAAAAUAUUCCAACAAUCAUUUGUUUCUUCCUUUAAUAUACAAUAUAUAGAGCUAGACUGGUAUACUAUUGGUAGCACGGAGGCCUCUGUGCUACCAAAUUGUUUUCAAUAAUGUAGCUUUCAAAUCGACGAUCGGCUCUGCUGGACUUGAUUUACACUAUUGAAAGUAUUUGAAAACAAAAUUUCAUAAUUUUUCGACAUUAUUUGACUACUGAUCAAAAAGUUUCAAAAUUGACAAUUUUAAUGAUAAAUGAGAUGCAUUUGUGAAUUUAACGGUGUAAAACAAUCCAAAUUUAAUGAAAUUUUUAUAAAAAUUCUUUGAACUAUUUAGAGUAAGAUCAAUAUCUUUGAUCUUAAAUUCAAGUCUUUUAUCAUUAUUUUUUAAGAGAUUUUUAUUUGCAGCCGUUCAUUUUUCGACUACUCGUUUGAUAGAUAAUGAUGUCGAAAAAUUAUAAAAUUUAGUUUCCAAACACUUUCAAUAGUCUAGAUCAAGUCUAACGGAGCCGAUCAUCAAUUUGAAAGCCGCAUCAUUGAAAACAACUUGGUAGUACGGAGGCUUCCGUGCUACCGAUAAUAUACCAGAUGGACUAUAUAUUGGAGUUCAGCUAGUAUACUAUCAGUAGCACGGAGGUCUCUAUGCUACCAAAUUAUUUUCAAUAAUGUAGCUUUCAAAUCGACUAUCGACUCUGCUAGACUUGAUUUACAUUAUUUAAAGUAUUUGAAAAUUAAAUUUCAUGAUUUUUCGACAUUAUUUGACUCGUGAUCAAAAGGUCUCAAAAUUGUUAAUUUUAAUGGUAAAUGAAAUGCGUUUGUGAAUUUAACAGUGUAAAAUAAUUCAAAUCUGAUGAAAUUUUUACAAAAAAUUCUUUGAACUAUUUAGAGUUAGAUCAAUAUGUCUGAUCUUAAAUUCAAAUCUUUUAUCAUCAUUUUUAAGAGAUUUUUAUUUUCAACCGUUCAUUUUUCGACUAUUCGUUUGAUAUGUAAAUGAUGUCGAAAAAUUAUUAAAUUUAGUUUCUAAAUACUUUCAAUAGUGUAGAUCAAGUCUAACGGAACCGAUCGUUGAUUUAAAAGCUGCAUCAUUGAAAACAACUUGGUAGUACGGAGGCCUCCGUGUUACUAAUAGCAUACCAGAUCUACUCUAUUGAAAGUAUUUGAAAAGUAAAUUUCAUAAUUUUUCGACAUUAUUUACCUAUCAAAUGAGUAGUCGAAAAAUGAACGGCUGAAAAAAAAAAUUUCAUAAAAAAUGAUGAUAAAAGACUUGAAUUUAAGAUCAGAGGUACUGAUCCUACUCUAAAUAGUGAAAAGAACUUUCUACAAAAGUUUUAUUAGAUUUGAUUAUUUUACACUAUUAAAUUCACAAACGCAUCACAUCGACCAUUAAAAUUGUCAAUUUUGAGACCUUGUGAUACUAGUCAAAUGAUGUGAAAAAAUUAUGAAAUAUAGUUUCCAAAUACUUUUAAUAGUGUAGAUCAAGUCUAAAUGAGUUGAUCGUCAAUUUGGAAGUCGCAUCAUUGAAAAUAACUUGGUGCUACCGAUAGGAUACCAGCCUAGCUAUAUAUAUAUAUAGAGUUUGACUGGGCAACUAUGGGUAGUAAACUGCUCGGUUUACUACCGAUUUGUUUUUGAUGAUAGAGCUUCCAAAUUGACAAUCGGCACCGUUGAACAGGAUCUAAACCAUUUAAAUUAUCUAAAAAUCAAAUUUCAUGAUUUUUGGGUAUCACUAAACGAAUGAUCAAAGGGUCACAAAAUCUAUAAUUUUAAUGGCUGAUAUGGUGCGUUUGCUCGUUUAAGGGUAUAGAAGAGUUUAAAUCAACUAAAUUUUUGUUAAAAAUUUUUUUAAACUAUUUAAAAUAAGAUCUAGACUCUAGAGUUUAAAUCAAUUAAAUUUUUCUAAGCUCCAAUUCAAGUUCAAACAUGCCAUUCCAAGAAUCGAGCUAAACAAUAUACUAAACAAAGCAAAAAAUACAUGUUGUCGACACAUAUAGAAUUAGGAGGAAACCCAUAGAAUCCGGUAAGCAUCACUUUAACCCACCUCGAAAGCGCGUCCAACAACGGCGAGAAGUCGACAGAAGCAGAACCACACGCUCGCCCGGCCUCCCCACGGCGCUACCACUAUGAACGCACGCUCGAACGGCACCGCGGCACGACGUCAGCGACAAUCCGACUCCACCCGAGCUCCUCCCCUUGCUCACGGCCAAGGACUAGAGAGAGAGGGAGAAAAUAGCAAGAAGAUCUCCUCUCUGCCUCUCUCUAUCCUAUAUAGGAGGGAAAUGAACAACGAAGUGAGAAAGACCAAAUAUGUAGAGUCCACCACAUAUUUGGUCACCCUGACGUCAAUCCAAAAGCCACCACUCGAUCGGCUGCUGUAGAGUCCACCAUCUGAGCUACGUAGACUCUGCCACUCGGAGCCUGCUGUCGGUACUCACCCUGACGUGGCGCAAAUGCUCUAUCUUCCUGGCGGUAACUUGGUGGUGUCCCAUAAGUCUGCUGGAGUGCUGGCUGUGCGGAUGCUGUCGAUGGUGCUAGUGAUGCUGCUCGAGGACAAGCUGCCCUCAUAUGCCCUGGUUGUCCACAUCCAUAGCAUCGACCCUCUCGCUGCUCGUACUGUCGAGGCCAGUGUGGUCCCCCAUAGAUCACAUACUAUGGAGUCCGCUGUGCCUGUCCAUGCUGACGGGAUCCCCCAGAACGCUAACGUCCCGAAAACCCACGAUCCUGAGAGCGUGAUCGUGGAGGUCUCGGCGGACGUCUGCUGCUCGACUGUCCCCCGUCGUCUGGAGCCGGGCGCUUCCUGUCCUGACUCUGCCCCUGUAACUGAGUCCGCUUACGGAUCGAGGCAUCACCUCUCUCCACCCAAAGAGCCUGCUCCAUAGAUGCAUCCAAGGUCCUCAACCUCUGCGCCUGAACAAACCUGAAAAUCUCGAGCCUCAAACCCUGCUCAAAUAGGUAUACCCUAUGCGCCUCGUCUCGAGCCACAAACGGAAUACAGUUCAGGAGUCGAGUAAACUCCCGUAUGUACUCCUAAACUGUCCGCUCACCCUGCUGAAUCCUCUUCAAAUCUUCCUCGAGCUUCUGUUUCACGUUGUUGGGAAAAUACAUCCCGAACAGUAUUCCACAGAACUCGUCCCACCUCAUCUGUGAAGCCACCAACCCAUAGUCUGAAAGUUUUGAGGAGCCCAAGGAUCUAUCUAGAUUGUAUCUAUCACCUAGAGAGGGGUGAAUAGGUGAACGGCCAAAAACCACAAAUCUCGAUUCAAUAAAAAUAAAUGCGGAAAAUAAAAAAUUUUUUAUAUAUUUAUAUUAUAUAAAAUUAAUAUAUAUCCGACCCACUUAUUGACUUCAAAUCAAUUUUAACCCGGUUACAACAACCAGGUAUUUUUGUUUGAGUUAUCUGUUUAUUUUCUCGUUUUAAAAUGAUUUAAAUAUGAAAAAAAGAAAGAAAGAAAAAAAGUGUAAAAGUUAUACAAAGAAAGAAAGAGAAAAAGAAACAGAGAGUGGGAUUCACCGGUUCGGCCUUCGGCAGGUUCAAUGGUUCAUUGUCAUAUACGGGCGGCAACGGAUGGAACAAUGAUUAACAUACGAACUCUUUUAUAUGUCUUAUAAAAAUUACAUUUUUUUAUAAUAAAUAUAUUUUAAAAUUAAAAUCAAUAUAUACUAAGCUAUCAAAUUAGGUUAUAAAUAGAUCUAUUAAAUAAAUAAAAACUGGUAUAUUUACUUUUAUUUAUUAUACCCUUAACUUCCGUCUUCUCUUCUGUACACUCCGACUUUUCUAAUCUAUAAGUUGAGUAUUUAAUAAAAAGAAGUAUAAUAUUAUGGUAUAAAGUAUAUUAAUAAAAUAUGAAACUUGAUAAUUUGUAUAAAAACAUAGUUUAAUAUCUAUUACAAGAUAUGUUUAAUUUGAUAACUAACAUACUACAACUCUUAAAGUUCGCCGAGCAAAUCCCGAGCUCGAGCGAGCUGAGCUUUAAUCCGAGCGAGCUCGAGCCGAGCUUAAUUAAAGUUUGGUUCGAACUCGAAUUUAAAUCCGAGCUUUAAUUAAAGUUCGGUUUAAACUCGCCUCCAUUCGAGCAAGCUCGAGCCGAGCAAAGGUGGGGAUCCAUGGCCAUGGUUUUGUCUCCUCAUGGCCAUGGGUCGGGGCUUUUGACUCCCAUAACAUCUUUCUUAAAAUCGAAAACACCCCCCAAAUUAACGUUAACAAACGAUAAUAGAUAUUGGGUCUUGGGAGGUGGACGAAAUAUGCACGUCCCUCAGUAGAGAGAAGAGGAGGAGGAAUAGAGAAAGGAGAAGAGAAAGAUUUUUGGGAUACACCACCUAAAACUUCCUUUCAACAUCACCUCAACCACAAACCCGACACUCCUUCGAUUUCUCGUUCUUCUUUUCAGACCACCUCGACUUUAGACUCCAUUCCAAUACGACAGAGAAACAAUCCCAAUACUAUAAAUGGGAUCUUUCUCAACUCAAACCCUAAAGAUCCAACGAUCUUCAACAAAACGGUACUUUUGGAUCUCCUUUCGAUACAUAACACACAAUACACUCGAACCCAAUCUACACUUUGUACAUCUUUAUACUUAUACUGUCCUCAAACUAGAGAACAUAAGGAUUUACUUAACCAAAACUCCAAGAACCCAAUAACCUCGAACAUAAUGAGGUACACAAAAGUACUUUGGACACAUCUGUCUCCCAUACAUCUCGAUUUCGAACUUUUACGAUAAAACAUCCUAACCUCUAGAUCGAACUUUAACUAGCGUACUUUAGGAUUAACUACCAUUUUGGCUGCGCAACCCUCCGAGCCUAGCUACAAGGCUGUUCGGAUGUGGCUCAAUAACUCCUUUUUGGAGUAAAAUCGAAGCAAACAGCGCUCGCUCCCCACACUAGCUAGUAUUUAGUGCCCUCCACCAAAAGAGCGUAGAGCCGUAGUGAAUCUCCACCCACCACGAAAGGCUUCAGUAGCUUACUAGAUAAUACAAAUACAGUGAAAAGAACUCGUAUGUACAUAUACAAAUCAACUAUAAGUACGUAAUAUCCCAACGUUAACAAUACACCAAUUUACACUAUACACAAGAUUAACAUACGAACCAUUCGUUUUUAUGUAUACCUGUCACCUAACUUUUUGUAUUUUGGGAUAUCACCAUACUUAUCCAUACCUGAUAUUUUAUCAAUUGUUCACUAUAACACUUAUCUGUAAGUACGUAAUAUCCCAACUCCAAUCGAACACCGAUUUACACUUGUUCAACCAUAUGUAGGUUACAUCUUUUGUACACCUUACUAUACACAAUCCAGGAUACACAACCGUUCAAAGCACCCAGCUCAGCCUCAGAACUUCUUCAAGCCUAGCCUCAUAACUUCUACCUUCUUAGGUUCUGAAGCUUCUUAACCUUUCCUACGUUUUGUGCUUAGUGCUACGCAUCCAUUAGAAAUUUAGAACAAAUACCACUAAGUAUGAAUUAAUAUCUAGAAUCUUAGUACAAAAGUUCAACAUUAAUUAAUCUUUCAAAGAUUCUCAAACAUUUUAGGUUUUAUUACGUAAAAGUCGCUUUUAACGUAACGACAUGGCCAUGUUCCGAAAAGACAGGUCCCAUGUCGGUAGUUGCAAGCGCGUCUUCAAACUACCAACAAGGCCAUGUUCGAGUACGACAUGGCCAUGUUCGGGACAAGGCCUUGUUCGUUGUCGGACAGGUCCCAUGUCGUCGAAGCGUCUUUUUAGAAGGCAGACCACAUGGGACCUGUUGUAAGGAACAAGGCCAUGUUCCACGACAAAAACCUUUCUUUGAAAGAUUAAGCUGAGGUUAACUAAGAUUUCAGAUAUUUAUUCGAUAACCCGAAGAGAUUAACUAAUUCGUAGUGCUUUUAUGUAUAAACUCUUUGGGAUCUCCGAGCCUAAAGUAGAAUUUGGAUAAAAGGUGUUUUUCGGAGAAAAUCUAGUUUAGCUCUAUAGCAAAGCGUAAGAGUUAUACAGCUAAACUAGAGGCGAAACGAACCUCAAGAUAAGGGACCAAAAGAUGUUAUGAGGUUUCGCUUCCUAGUGGUAUAAGUACUAUAAGAAGUACCACCGCAGCACCUAAGCCGCAUAAACUGCCGCCAAGCACCUAAGCCUAGCAACCGAGCACCUAAGCUCACCGCAGCACCUAAGCCGCACUAACUUCGAAGCACCUAAGCUUCACCUCCGCAAGCACCUAAGCUUGCACUCCCGCACCUGUUGGGCUUCCCAUCGCGCUUCUAAGUAUCCUCCAAUUCUCUCCAUCUCAGGCACCUCAGCCAUUAGUGGAACAUUAGAAAAGAGAAUCACUUAAUAAAAAAGCGCACAAGCGGGGCACCCAAAAAGAGGUUCAACCUCAAAAGGGUGCAUUUAGAGCCACACUNUUGUUCUUCACAUCUCGAUCAUAUCUUCCCCUUUGUUUUUGAACUCAUCAUCCUCUGCUUAGUUCAUUGCCUGUUGUCAUCCAUGCAUCCUCUGCUGUUCUACGUUCUCCCCCUUUUUGUCAAAAAUUGCCAAAAGAAAGCAAAUAGAGAGAGAAAACAUAAUAGAAAGCAUAAAAGAAGUCUAGUCAUAGGUACAAGCCUAAAAUAAAAACAUGCCAAAGAAAGAUAAGCAAACAAGUCUAGUCAUCGUCCUAAAAGUAAGCAGAAUAAAGUAACAAAAUGAAGCCUGAAGAAGACAUCACUCCGUGUCCUCGUCAUCGUCAUCAUCAUCAUCAUCAUCUCCUGCUCCAACUCCAGAUCCCCCAGCCUCAGGAGCAUCACCAGACGGUGGAAUGAGUGGAUGUCGUGAAGUCGAUCUGGUAUAAAUAGUGUAGGUAGGCUCAGUAGGAAAGAUGUCAUCAUGCCUACAUCCCAUUUUCUCAAUCAUUCUCUUCAUCCCCAUCUCCACCUUUCUUGCAAGAUCGGCCAGUUUCUUCUUCAUAGAGCGCACCUCAUGAUGAAGUGAUUCCACAGUAAUCACUCCCCCUGAACUAGAAGAUCCCUCGCGUGCUGCUCUAGGUGAAGGAGCUGAACUAGUAGCUCCUCUGGAAGACCCUUUGGUUUGCUGAAACGUCUUCAAGGUGCUCCUAGACUUUGCCCAAGUCACAGCAUCAAUAGGUCCAAGUCCAAAAUCAUACUUCUCACAGGACACGUCAACACUAUUUUCCUGAAGAAUCCUCAUGAUCAACAAUGGAAAUGGAAGAAGAUCACGGCGAACCUGAGACUGUAUGACAUGAACCAUUCGUUGCCACAUAAGAAAAGGAAUAUUGAUGUUCAAUCCUCUUGCUUCUUCAGGAUGUCCAAGAAGAUACAGAAACACAAGAUGAUCCCACCGAAUUCUUUUCGUUCCAAUUGUCGGUUGAACGUUGUAGCUCAUUACCAAUGAGAGCAAAUGAUAUUCAGGUAGCAAAUUCUUAGAUUCCACAUAUGAGUGAUUAGUCCUAACACCCUCCUUACAUAUAACUCGAAUAACAGUCUCCCAGUGAGUUGCAGACUGAAAAUCCCCUGUAGUAUAGUGAAGACCGGUCGUAUCAACACGCAUACCUAAGAGCUCUCCAAUAGUAUAAGGAGUGACAUGAAUCUUCUUUCUACGCACAUAAGUCUCAAACACAUAAGUCCCAGUCUCCUCAUCCUCUCCAAGUACUACCCCGUUCAUAUAGAACUCUCGAAUUAGCUCUACACAAAAUGGGGCACGAGCUGGAACCCGUCCAACAGGCUCAAUAGGGACCCUCUGCAGCAAUCUGCCAAAAUCUGGUACCUCCUUGACUAGCUCAGUGAAGUUGACAUAGCGCUCAGCUAGAACUGAUCGGCUCGAAUAAAUCUGCUGUCGCUCUAAUGAAGCCUCUGCAGCACGUUUGGAGCGCCUUUCACGUGCACGAGAAUCACCUCCUCGUGAGGAUUCGCCUGCUAGGCCUUUUCCUUUAGCCGCUCGAGUAGCAGCUUCUUCAGCAGCUUCAGGUGAGCUGACCUGAUAAUCAGGAUCUGAUCCAGAUGCCUCACCGGCAGUACGAGUUCUCUUUGACUGACCACGUCGUCCUCGACCACCACCACGACGACGACCGGCAGCCAUAAGCACCAGAAGCAGGAUCACAAGCGAAAACGCCAUUUUCCUACAUGAAAAUGAGCCAUUCAUGAAGAAAAUUUUGAAAAAAAUCUGUAAAAAUAGCAGAAAAAUUUCUAAUAACAUUAGAAUGCAUACAAAUGCUAUUUCUAACAAGAUCAUAUAACAAAUUUAUCAAAGAAUGACAUUUUAAAAAGAAAUCCCGAAAUUAUAUGAAAAAUGAAGCUUAGAACAUGGAUCAGUGAAAAAUAACGUGAUUUGAUGUGAUUCAAGUGUUCUAGAAGCAAGAUAAUGUCCUUAAGCACUGAUCUACAGUAAAAAAAUUGCAUAAAAAACGAUCAAAAACAUAGAUCUAUGCAUGAACACGAAAUUUUUUGAAAAAUAAACAUGAAAACGAUGAAACGAUUAAAUCCAAAUGAAAUACUCACAGAUUUUUGGGGAAAAACGUGUAGAUCUGGAAGAGGAGAGCACCAGGGAAUUUUAGAAAGAGAAAGAACGAAAUUUGGUUUGGAGUAGAGUGAGAAAGAAAUCUCUGUAACCGGUUAUAUUUCCGCGGCUACAGUGAUUUGUACCGGUACACGGGAUUUUGUACCGGUACACUUUGCCAGAUAAUAUACUAUAAAAUUUCAAAAUCCAUCAAAAACAUCAAAAUUUCAUUAUAAAAAAUGAUUUAAUAAUUCCAAAACAUCAAGAUGUAAGUUGAUGAAAAAUAAUUUAUAGAAAUUCAAUAAAAUUGACACCAAUUUGUCGUAACAUGUUCAAAAUAGAGAUUUAACCAAUAUGAUACUAGGGGUGGCUCUUUGAGCAUCUUUUUCAAACUAGCACCUUAUUACUCCGAAAAUUCUAAAAUAUUUAUUUUUUUCAACCUUUUUCUGCUUUUUCAAUUAAAUUCCAUGUGGUAGCUUCACACACUUGCCGGACGACCGGGGUGGUAGCUCUUUCCUACAUGUGGUGGUAGUUUUCACACUCCUUUUAGGAUGUAACUCUUUCCACAUCUUUUAAACACAGGAGUUUCUUUUUCUCUUUUUUUUUAAAAAAUUUCAAACUCCCCCUAAAAUAGGCAAUCUCACAAUUGAAAAUAUUUUGACAAAUUUUAGUCUAUUAGAGAAUAUCCAUCCAUCAUCUCCAACACACACAACCAAAAUGAAUUAAUCACCAAUAAAUCAAAUUUGAUUUCAAAAUUUUGAUGAAUUUAUGCAUUAAGAAAUCAUAUAUUAAUUUAUCGUCAAAAUAAUAAAAAGUGGAGUAAAAACGAUAAUUAAUAUGAAUUUAACUUAAUUAUCACUGUGAAGUUAAACCCGUUUUAGAAAAAUCUCUCUCUCCAAAAUCAUAGAUCUCAAUCAUCUCUUUUCUCGAAAAUUUUGAAUUCCUAAACAUAUUUUCCUCAAAAUGAUUUUUAAAUAAACAAAAAUUCAAUGCACCAAAAAUCAUUCAAACAUAUAAUGCAAUGAAUAAAAUUAAACAACAAGCACCAAUCAAAGCAUUACACUAAAGAUAAAAAAUGACUAAGACGAGGAGCAAGGAAAGAUAUCACCUUUCCGGAUCCAAACUUGUCGGAUCGUUGGUUUCCUCGACUUGUCGACGUUAGGUGCCGUUUGUUUAGAGUUUUGAUCAACCAAUGGUGGUUUCUUCGGUUGAGGCUUUGGUUGAAUUUGUCGUUGAGGCUUAUGCACCCGGUUUGCAUGAACUUGGCGUUGUGCAUUAGAAAUCCGGUUCAUUUGAGGUACUCGACUAACUUGAUUUUUCUUUUGAUUCCGCCGGGGAAGUCGAGUUGUAGAUGAUGUCGUUUGAGGUUUAGAUAUUGCCGAUUGAUUCUUCUUUUCCUUAUUUGGGCAAUUCCUUUUAAUGUGUCCUUUAAUGCCACAUUUAUGACACACUUUCUCUUUCGAAGUUGUUGAGACUUUAGAAGUUGAUAUUGAAUCCUUCUCAACGUAUGUCCGUUCAUAUCCAAGGCCUAAUUUGCUUGUUUGACCCAAUCCAAACAUUUUGCCCAAUUUCUUAGAUCCCGAAGAGAAUUGUUGAAGAUCGGAUUGGAGUUGACGAACUUGAUCGGUCAAUAAUUUGUUGGAUGUAUGCGAUUCCUCAUAUUGAUGCUCCAAAAAUCCAACUUUAUCUUUAUAAGAAUUAAUCGUUGAUUCCGCUUCAUCAAGCUUCUCUUGAAGGUCCGAAUUAUUCUUCAAAUUUGAUUCCCUUUCCUCCUCGAGAGCUUUCUUCAUUGUCUUCAACUUGUUGUUUUCCUCUUCAAUUUCCAAUAAACGCCUUCUCAGCUUCUUAUUAUGCUUGGCCAUCUUUUUCGAAUCAAUAAGAAGUUGAUUGUAUGCUUCUGCCAAAUCCUCGUCGUUCGACUCCUCCUCGCUUUCGCCAUUGUCGCUCGAAGACCCCGACAAGGUGGAAUUAGAAAUAAUAGAAGAUAAGCAAACAACAUUAGACGAAGGCAAAGAAGUGUUAGUAAACAAAGCAAGAUUCUCGUCCUUUUCUUUAUCAGCCAUUAGAUAGCAAUUUAUCUAGAUCCCGCUCUGAUACCAAUUGAAAGUUUUGAGGAGCCCAAGGAUCUAUCUAGAUUGUAUCUAUCACCUAGAGGGGGGUGAAUAGGUGAACGGCCAAAAACCACAAAUCUCGAUGUAAUAAAAAUAAAUGCGGAAAAUAAAAAACACACCGAGAUUUACGUGGGAAAACUCCAACUUGGAGAAAAACCCACGGGACCAACACGCGAAAAAAAUAAUUCACUAAGAGAAAAGAUUACAAGGUGAUUACCGACUCCACGGACUCAACCUCUCUUAACCUCCUAUGAAUCUUCCCGCUACCCUCCGGGUUGUCCAUGCCCUCACGUUCGAGUCCACGAACGCCUCCACUUCGAAUCCACGAAGCUUCAAUCACGCCAAAUCCACGACGCCACUCGAAUCCACGAGCCCACAAUCUGAAUCCACGAACCGCCGUCAAACACGCCGAAUCCACGACGCCGUCAUGAAGAACAUCAUGUGUACGGUGAUCCUUCGCUUAGAGUAUCGAUGAAAACCAGGGAAAGAAACUCCAAGCGAAGCGAAGAUCAAAUCGACAUAUUGAUAUCAAAUUACAAUCCCUCGAUUUGACCUAAAAGAGGCUAAUACGUAGAAAAUAGGUUUUAGAUGAAAUCCAAGCCUCUAGGGUUUCUCAAAUAUGUAUUUUCGUAAUGCUUCAUCUGUUAGAGAACCCCAAUAGCUUAUUUAUAGACUUUAGAAUCAAUUGGAGUCGGAUUAGAAAGAUUUCACGAUUUUACAUUGUGUACCGGUACACUUUAGGCUGUCACCGGUUACACAAUGACGGAACGAAAAACCAGACGAAACAGUGAAACCGGUUACACCCUUGAUGGUCGUACCGGUACACAAUUUGUACCGGUACACUUCUGAUGCUGUACCGGUACACUUUGCAAAUUUUUGCCGUUUCGAGUUUUGCAAAGUUCCGAUGCACUUUCUAAUCCGUUAGACAAUGAUAUUAUGAUUCUAAUGUCUACAACUAAGUACGAAUCACCAUAAUCAUGAAUUAACACUUUACCUGGACAUCGUGAUUCACGGUGUGAGUUAUUUUCCAACUUCUUCGAAAUCUUGAAUUCUUCGAUCUUCGACAACACGCACCGAUUCUUCAAGACUCCGACUCACUUCACGAAACUUGCCAAUACACAAGACUUAACAUAGUCUCGCCUCACCCUCCUCCACCAUGCAUGUGCAUCACCUGCCAAGCAGUGAACUCUUAGGUGUACCUGCUCCCGCUCAGGAAUGAACAGAUCCUCAAAUAGUCUUUUCAUUGCGCUGACCCAGUCCUCGACAACCCAAGCCUCAGUGCAACUGCCAUCGUAGGUCGGCAGAUCGAAACGACGGAAGCGGGCAAGUCUCUCGAUCAUCCGCUCCUGCUCAGCCUCAGUCAGCUGUGGGGCCUCACCAAAAGCUGCAACUGGCGCUGGGGGAACUGCCGUUUGUGGGGGUACUGCUGCUGGUGGGGGUACUGCUGCAGCUGGGGCUGCCACUGGAGUAGUCGAAGGUGGAACUGGCUGCUCUGGUACUGUGCUAUGGGGCGGAGCUAACCUCUCACACAUCCUUUGUAACAACUUCCCCUGCUGCCUCGUCACCUCUGUCAAGGCAGCUAACUGCUCCCUCAAGUCAAGGGGUGCACUCGCCUCUGGUCGCGCACUCGGCUCUGCCUGCUCAGGCAUCUCAGGAGGUACGGCACAAUCCAGCAACGACAGUCGAUCACGACGUCGAUACAUAGCUGCCAAGAAAAGAAAAGAGGGUCAGAUAAAACACAAACAUUCUCGACCCAAUCAAACGAAAGUCCGGAAGGCGGCCCAUGUUUCUCCUCAAAAUUAUGUCGUCUGCAGCCAACAUAAUUUUUCUAGACCGAAACAGACACUGCUUCAAUCACUCACUCCACUCUAGGAGGAGUUAAAACUAAUCAAUCAUUGACUUUCGCGAUAAAUCACGCCUCUCGCGUCUUGCCCUCCUAAGGUUUGCCAAACUUAGGGUUCCUAGGUCCCAGCAACUUAAUACUAAGCUCUGAUACCAACUUAAUCUAUCACGCCCUGGAUUACUCGUUUCUCCGGACGCGCUGACAAAUCCGCCGUAUAUAAAGGAAUUUUUUUCUGUAUACGAAGCGACAGCUGUACCUGUAAUCAAACAAUACUACAAUCAGUAGUAUAGAGCUGCUAGAAAAAAUGAUAUAUAUAUAUAUAUAUAUAUAUAUAUAUAAACAGAAGUUCACUAUACAUACAAGCAUUCAGGUGUAUAAAACACUCGCUCCAGCGAGAUACAACAUAGUAUGCAUAUGAACUCAAAAACUACCACUACCUGUAGCUAGUAUACUCUAGCUCAGCAACAACUCGGAAGGGAUCUAACUCGCGACUCCCUUUCCACGGUCCGAAUCAGCAGCAGCAGUAACCGAAGAAGAAGGCUCUACAAAAGGUUCCAACAACUGGGCGUGAGAACUACUACAAAAAGAAGUAGUCCUUAGUGGGUACCGCUACCGACCUCAACGGCUCACCUACUAAGUCUACAGAUGUAAACAAGUAUAGCAAGAAAGCUGGAAUAAAUCUACAGCUAUAUGCACCUAUACUAACUCGGUCGAACACCAACAAUCUGUAGGAAAGAGUAAAACCUGAUCCAAUCUCACUAGGGACUGUGAACACAUCUGUCCCGCCUGUCGAAGCUAUACAAUCGACACCAAACCAGGUCGUCAGUGGAGAGCAAGUCCAACCAGGACCAAACGACACCAACGCAAAAGCACAAAGCCUAACUCUGGAGUGGCACUCGUGGACGCUACCCAACCGAGUAUGCAAGUGUGUCUCUGUCGAGCUCAAUCAGGCUCAAAUAGGCUAUAGUCAAGUAAACAGGGUCUAACAACUAAACUCACGUGCCCUCGGCACAAUAUGAUGCAAAAACAGCAAUCUGGGUCCACCGUCAACCUCAACGGCACCCGACAAUUCGGAACAGCCUAAUCACUGUUGUAAAAAUACACUUGGCACCUCAGCACGAGCGUAAUUAUGUUCUACACUAUUCUGGACAUACACCGCUCACAAACUGCGAUGAUACAAAUAAACUACGGCUUCUAAAGCUAAAUCUGGUAGUUUGAUCAAAUGGCGAUGUAGAAACGUCAGUUUUCUCCUAAGUCAAAUCCAAGUCCAACAUGCAUAAUUUAGCUAAUUUUUCUAAGCUCCAAUUCAAGUUCAAAAACAUGCCAUUCCAAGAAUCGAGCUAAACAAUAGACUAAACAAAGCUAAAAAUACAUGUUGUCGACAUAUAUAGAAUUAGGAGGAAACCCGUAGAAUCCGGUAAGCAUCACUUUAACCUACCUUGAAAGCGCGUCCAACAAUGGCGAGAAGUCGACAGAAGCGGAAUCACACGCUCGUCCGGCCUCCCCGCGGCGCUAUCAUGACGAACGCACGCUUGAACGGCACCGCGGCACGACGUCGGCGACAAUCCGACUCCACCCGAGCUCCUCCUCUUGCUCACGGCCACGGACUAGAGAGAGAGGGAGAAAAUAGCAAGAAGAUCUCCUCUCUGCCUCUCUCUAUCCUAUAUAGGAGGGAAAGGAUAAGGGUGAAAAGAACGAGGUGAGAAAAGACCAAGAGGCCCCUUACCUACCGUGGUGUCUCAGUACAACAUCAAUGUUGUACCAGUACUACGCAACAGAAUUGCCAACCCGAGAGCAGUCUGUGUAGAAAAACGCACUGAGUACCGGUACACCCCUGCGUGGUACAGAAAAACGCACUGGGUACCGGUACACCCCUGCGUGGUACCGAUACCAAUUGCUGAAAAUCUGCGAUUUGCAGAUUGCAAUGCUAACCCACUGCUCUCGCGUCCCGCUGAGUCCAGUUUGCUUUUAUUUCGCACCAACAGGACUCGGACUUAUCCCGACACUCUCCAGAAUUGUCGACAGGUCUCAACUGCUGAAUUCCAGGGUUACUACAAAAACUCAUUGUAAAAUAAACAAAAAGGUGAAAGAAAAUCAUUUUAUCCUCCUAUGAUAUAUGUUAAUAUUUCUGUAUUUUUUAAGGAUGAAAAUAGUAGAACACAAUCAGAUAUUUGACGAAACUAUAUUCACAUUUAUAUUUUUUUAUCGAAUGUAAAUUUGGAUAUGAAUAUGUACUAAAUGUUGUAUUUGUAUUCGCAUGCUAUCGAACAUCGUGUUGGAUGGCUUUGAUGUGAGUUUACCCUACCCACCUUCACGAAAAAUUAUAGAAUGCAACGGGUAUAUUGGUGUCGUGGCGUAAUAAACCAAUCAAAUAUCUUCUUUUAGGAGUAUAUGUCCCAUCAUGAUUAUAAAAAAAAUAUUUUUAUUGUACUUUUGUUUGAAAAGAAGAAAUAUAAUUGGUUUGUUAUUGAUGACGUGGUGCAAGUGUGACAGUGUAGAAUUCCUCCACCUUUACCCCUAUCUCCUUGCCAGGAAUGUACCGGGACUAGGUUACAAAACGGGAUAGUGGAGGGACUAAUUCAUAAAUUUUAGAGCCAGGAGUGACAAAGGGAGAAUGUACAGGGACCAAGUCGCAAAACGGGAUGGUGGAGGGACUAUCCAUAAAUUUUAGUCAGGGAGUCGAACGAACGCAAUCUCUUUCUCUUCCUCUCUCUCCCUAUCCCUCUUCUCUCUCUCUCUCUCCAGCAUCUAAGUGAGGAGAACGGAGAACCCUAGCGAUUUCACUAAAGAAACAGGUCCCUUCUCUCUCUCUCUCUACGGAUCGAUCUUUUGCUUUUGAUUGCACUGAGAUUAGGGUUUUAAUCGUGCUCGAUCUUGGGCUUAUUGCGUUGAUCGAUCCCUUCUUGAUGCUUUUAGUUGUUGUUGUUUUUUUUUUUUUAAAUAAAAAUUGGAUUGCUGUGAUAAAUUCCUAAUAGUUGAUGAUAUUGUAAUCAUUAGAGAUUGUUUUAAUUUAAUAUUUGAUUUAUUGAAUUGAAGGAAGUAUAUGAAGUUGGGAAACUCAAGCGAUAGGAUUUAAGUCGACAUAUGUUCUGUAACUUAGUUUUAGAUUCUAAUAUUUAAUUUACAAUUUCUAUAAGAAAAUUUGUCUUGUUUUGUUUUGUUUUGUUUUUUUUUUUGGGGGGUGGGGGGUAUUAUAAAUCAUCCAAUNGGGGGGGGGUAUUAUAAUCAUCCCAUCUAAAAUUUUCUAUUGAAUGCUUGUUCUUAUCAAAUUAGUAUCAAAUGAAACUUGAUCAUAUUAUGUGUCACUUGGUUUAAGUGUGAUGCCCCAACUUCCCACAAGGUCAUCCAUCCUAGGACUACUCCCGUCCUAGUACGCGUAACUUUCUUAAUCUCUUGGGCUUAGCCACCGCCCAAAAUACUUUAGCCGGGUUAAAAAUUUUAGUCCUAUUAUAUCUUAUAUAUAGGACUAUCUGGGAUCUCACAUUUCCUCCCAUCCUAAGCCCUGACGUCCUCGUCAAGUUCGUACUCACUAGUACCAGGCGAUGUGAGACUCAUUUUGCUGGUCUAAACCGACUUUGUGGUGAGCUGCGCUCUACCCACAACAAUCAACAGCAUGAGAGCCUCGCUCUCCUCACUGUAUAAUCCUGGCUCAGCCGAGACUCAUCUUACACUUUCGGCUGGUAAAUGGCUCUGAUACCAACUGUGACGCUCCAACUUUUCAGGGCGUCACCCAUUCUAGAACUACUCCCAUCCUAGCACGCUUAACUCUCUUAAUCUCUUGGGCCUAGCCACCGUCCAAAAUGCCUAAGUCGGGUUAAGAGUUUUAGCCCUAUUAUGUCUUAUAUAUAGAAUUAUCCGGGAUCUCACAUUAAGUUCCAACAUUCAAUUUCUCAACAUAAGAAUUUUUUUAUUAUUAUUAUUAUUGUUAUUGUUAAUCGGUCGCUCUUAUAUUAACUAUUGCAUGAUUGUUUUAUCAACUUAUACUCUCUGCAAUAAAAACGCAAUAGGUCGCAAUGAGUGGCACAGAUACUUUCAGAAUAAAAAUGUAAAGGUUUAGGUGCUGGUAUACUGUUCUAAAGUUUGAAAAUAACUUAUAAAUCCUAAUUUGCAUACCCUUCUAAACUUUUAAUACCUCACAAAAUUAUUUUUUUUAAUAAACUUUUCAUCAAUCUCCGUUAAAUUUUCUUUCUUUUCCCUUUCUUCACCUAGCUAGUAAAUCACUUCAUAUCUCUUUCAUAGCCUUAACGUUCGAUGUAUGCCACAACUUUUUUAAUAGCGAAGAAGUUAAAUGCCUGCGAAAAAUUCUCUUCUCAAUGAGGAAUUAUUUGGAAUUGAAUGGAAAGCAGAGAUGUAACUUGGUAGGAGAUUCUCUUCUUGACUAUUUUAUUUUAUAUUAUUUUAUUUUUUUUCCGGUCGGUCAGAUUGGAAGCUAAAGAAAAGUUAACAAAAAUUGAUGAAAACUUAACUAGAACGGUAUUUUUGUAAGGUAUCAGAAGUUUGGAGGGAUGUAUAAGUUAAUUUAAAAUUGGGAGGGAUAUAUAAGUUACUUUUAGACUUUAGAAUAUAUCGGUUUUUAACCUAUAUGAAAAGAGCUAGAUAAAUUUGGAAAGAAAAGGAGAGAUCUGUUCCUAUCGAUCUAAGAGAUGAGAAGGUGAUGAGAACAAGAGAAGAAGGUGUAGAUCACACAUUUCAAAGAGUGAGGUGUCUUCCCGAUUUGCCUAGAAAACCUCCCAGCUUUUGCAUCUUUGAUGAUGGCAGAUUUUAGGUGUAGAGUACUUAAAUGAUAAUAGAGGCAUUCUGCUUGAAACCGUGGUGAACCGGGCACUGAAAAUAUCUACCGUUGCUGCUAAGUAUGCUUCAAUGAGAGAGAGAAAAUAAGGUUCUAGUUUAAGUUUGUAACAGCAUCCUCACUGGGUAUCUAAGACUGCCCUAAACUUUGAUGAGGGUCCUAGCAGUUGUAUUGCCGUUAAACUGAAAAUAUAGGGAACAUCUUGACUUUCUUUUCCUCCUUUGAAAUGUGGCUUUGUCUUAAAGACCUCCUACAGAUUGAACUAUUGGUGAAGACUCAUACGAUGCUAUUCUCUGAGAUGUUUUCAGAUUACUUAAUAACAAAUAUUUAUAUUGUUCUUUGAGAUUUAGCCUUUUUUCCAUAUCAAGUACUUUUUGAGAUGUAGUCGUAACUCUAGCUUACACGAUCAGAAGUCCUUUCAGUUGUUUUUGUAAGAUGUUUGAUAUACUUGUUGCAAGCAAUUCAUUUUUUCUUUUCAAUUAUCGCUGUUCGUGAAGUAUGGAUGUUUAUCUAUGAUUAUAACCAAUAUAUUUACAUAGACAAUUCAAGAUUCUUCUUCUUUCUUCUGUUACUCCCAAAGAGUAGUAUUAACAUCACUCAUGAAAAGUAGGUAAUCUUAUUUGUUGUUCGUUUCUUCUCAUCAUGAAGACUGAAAUCCUCUUAAAUUAGAUUACUUGUGUCAUUGCUUGAGCAGCCAAAUGUAAUUAUCUAGUAAAUAUAAUGUAGCUAACUUGCUAUCAUGUGUGGUUCUGAAUUAGUAUAAUUUGGCAGAUUAAUAUCACUUAAAGCAUGAAUCUAGUUUUUAUUUCGUGGGAAUGUAUACUGAACAUGUAAUGCAAGUCAUAACCAAGAAAUUACUAACCAAUCAAGUUGUUGGUGAUGGAGACAUUAUCAAUCUCCUCUUGUGACCUAAAAGGAACAUAUAUUAAUAGAAUAUGCUCACUCAUUAAUUAAACACGGAUAUCAUUUUUUUGCUUGUUCAAUCAUUUCUGAAUUGGUUGUCGUUGAGCCUCUCUACCAUGAAAGCCUAUUCUUUUGUUGGACAUGAAACUAGGCAAGCAAAUAGAGGUGUCACAGUUUGAUCAGGAAUCAAUUUGUCGUACUCUUACACUAUUCUUUAUGUAUAGCGUAACAUAUUUAGAAUAACUAUAUAUAAUUUGCAUUUUUAUUUAGUACUAGGUUUCUAAUUCUCUAGGUACAAAGUUAUAUGACAUUAUCUUUGUUGUUGAUAAUUGCUCACUAUUUAUUGGUAAACAUGUAAGAGACACCUCAAGUGUAAGCUAUUUUGAAACAUAACACCCCAGCUUUGUGGUUCUUUUUUAAAUCGAUCUCAACUUAUUGCUCCAUUGGAUUUUAAUUGUCUCGCUAAGUUGCAUGGGGGAUUCAAUGAAAUUUGAUGGUGGUAUCUUCAAGUUCGUCGGCUCUUACCGCUUUUCAGAAAAGAGCAUUGCAGGUUCUGUUAACAGUUAACAGCAGAUAGCAAGCAGACUCCCAAUUCAGCUGAGCAAAAUAACCCAAAUCAAAACAAGCGCAAGGUGAGGGGGUUGUUAAUCUAUUUUGCAAUAACAUAUAAUUGAGGGUCUCUCUGUACAUGUUUAACUUAGAUAUAUCAUUGGUUGCAAUACCUAAUAACGCUUACGAUCUUGAUUAAUUCCAUACUUGAAUUGUGCUGCUAGGGGUUAUUUUUCUGGGAAACUUUUGCGUCUUUUGGGGGUUAUAACAAUUAGCAACUAAUAUCUAAUUCAUGUAAACAUUUCAGCUGCUAUCUGGUGCAAUACAUAGAAUCCCUCAAACUACAAUGAGUCUAGCAUGUCUAGUGUGCCAUGGCAUGGAGAGCCCUUCACAUUCUUUCAGAAGCCAUUCGGUCUCAAGCUCAGAUGCCGAGGGACGGUGUGCCGCAGCCCUCAGCUGCUUCGCUCAGAAGAUCGCCAUCUCUGGUAACAAUAACGGGGCGGCCAAGGUGGCCCCGUUCCCCGUUAUAGGGAAUGGUCAAGGAGUGACUGGGGCACCUCGCCUUCAACGGAGCCGCGCCGUGUCGCGGGACCUUGUUCGGGACUGGAAUUUCGAUGAAGUUCUCGUGGGGAGGUAGAAAGUUUUUUUUUCUAAUUAUAAGUUAUUCUUUUUAUUCCACUUCCAACUCCAUGCUGUAAGUAUAUAUAUAUAUAAUUUUUAGUUAGAUUUGUACUUUAACAGAGUAUUGGUAGAUUAACUAAAUUAUGAGGAGAUGACUUUGGAAAUCAAGUCUAUUUAGAGAUUGUACAUAGUUUUGAUUGCUGGAUUUAGCUCUCCGGUUUGUUUCUAUUUCUUUUGAUAAAGUUUUCAUAAACUAGCUAAUUAAGUGAUGCAAUAAAUCAAAUCCAAAUAUAGAUAAGCAGCUUACUUUUGAAUCAUGCAUAUAGUUUAUAUUAGGUCUUUUUAGCCCUGUUGUAGUUUUUACAGAAAUGCUAUUUGAGUAGAGUUGUUCUUAACGCUUGUAGUUCUUUGGCUCUUUGAAAUCCCAAAAUUGAGAAAUUUUUGUCAUUUUUUGUUCAACUAAUUGUUGACGAGAUAGUUUAGAAUUUCGGGAUUUGUCCGAAAUAACUGAUUACUUACUCCAGAAUAAUGGGGAUAGUUUAGAAUAAAUUGUGCAGGUAUGAUUUUGCUUUGAAAAGGAGCAAUGCUACAAAAUAGGCAUAUUGAAGUGAUUUAUUAUUCUGUCUUUUAUUACUGAAAAGUAUAUUAGAAAUGGCAUGACACAUUGAAUGAUUGAAAUGAUUUUAUAUCUCUUUCCAAAAAUAAAUCACACCGUAAUUAAUUUAUUUCCAACAGAACUAUUUAUGUUUGAAACCACUAAGACUUAGUUUGGUAUUGAGACUCACCUAACGCUAUUAGAUAAAAUAAAGUUGGGGUAAAAACAUAUAGAGAUAUACUUCUGCGUUCUCCGAUGGGAUCGUAGAAAAUAUAUCGCAACCAACUCAUCGCGAUAUGUGAAAUCUAAUAUUACGUACAGAAACAAACAGGAUAUUUAUCCAACUUACUUUCUCAUAAUAUUACAAACAGGAUAUUUAUCCAACUUAAUUUCUCACCGUAUGUAAUGCAAUCUUUCCAGGAUAUUUAUCCAACUUACUUUCUCACCGUACGUAAUGCAAUCUUUCCACAAUCUCAAACGAAGCCUUAAUACAGUUCAGCUUUAACUCUGAACGGCGAAAUAUAUUAUUUAUUGAUGAUAACAAAGUUACUUUCCCCCAAAAGCACAAACCAUAUCAUGCUUUGUUUUAAGUACAACUUCACGGCACAACAAGAAAUUUCGAAACCGAAAGAAAUCAAUGCGAAGAUCCCCCAAUCUAAAUGUUAAAAUUUAGACACAAAUGAUCAAAUUUCGACAACUGCAAAGCCAAAUUUAUGAACGAUUUAAACAGAAACAGGGGAUUCGAGCAAAACCAUGGCUUCUUUGAUCUUCUCCACUGCAGCUUGUAGUGUAGAGAGAGAAGCAGCAUAGGAGAUCCUUACGCACUUGUCGUCCCCGAAUGCAUCUCCCGGAACGAGCGCGACCUGUUCACGACAUUGUUAUGCUUUUUUUUUUUUUUCAUUUUUCUUCGGUGUAUUACGUACUCGGAACUAUGUCUAUAGUUUUACCUGGGCCUUGUCUAGAAGGAACCGGCAAAGGGAUUCGGAGUCUUUGACGAUGCCGAAGCCUUCGACUUCCGAACCGUAGUAGGAGCUAAAAUCCACAAACAGAUAGAAGGCACCCUGCAGUUACCGAAAGUUCGUGAAUUGAUUGUCAAGUUUCCAUAAAAUCAUACAAUAGUGCGAGCAUUUUGAGCCCCAAAUGUGUAAGUGCAAGUUUUGAUCUUCUUAUUGCAUCCAGCUAUUGUUCGAAACUAGAGAUGCAAACAGGGCGGAUCUGGGGGCGGGAGCCCCGUCCUGCCUCCCACCCCAACUAGCAAAAUUCCGUCUCGAAUCCGUGACGGGUUAAAAAAUAUAUCCUAUAAUCCGCCCCGUCUCGUAACCCGCCUCCCGCCGGCGCCCCGAAUCGGCCCCGCCAACUAAUAUUUUUUUAUAAAAUUAUAAUAUUAUUAGUAUUUUAUAAAUUAUAAAUUAAUAAUUUUUAAUAAUAUUAUAUAUAUAUAAUUUAACAAUAUUAAUUAUAAAAAUAAAAAAUAUCCAUUACAAUUCAAAACAAAAUUCAAAAGUUUCAAAUACAUUAGAAAUGAGAGUACUAAUUUAUUUGUAUUUUGAAUUUUUUUUGUAAAUACAUUAUUUUUUAAGAAUAUUUUUUAAAAGGAAAUAUAAAUGAUUUUCGGGGCGGAUCAUGGCGGGGUGGAUUCAGGGCGGUCAAAAUUUCUCCCGUUUCCUGCCCCGAAUCCGUCUCGGAUCGUAAAAUUUACCCUGUUUCCUGCCCCGAAUCCGUUUAUUUUCUCCCAUUUACUGCCCCCCGUCGAGACGGAUCGGGGCGGGAGCUCCACCAACCCGGAUCCGUUUGCAUCCCUAUUCGAAACUAUAGUUUGGGGCGAGGGCUCAACGAAAAAGCUCGCUCAAACAGCACUUCUACAAAGGCUAUACAAUGGUUAAAAGAGCUAUUAAUAUCGUGCGAAAGAUAUGCCCUAAUUUUUACCUGGGGCUCUGAUAUUUUUACACCCGGCAACUCCCGAAAACUUUUAACCAAGAAAUCGCGGCGCUCCUGGAAUGCUUUUACCAUUGUUGCGACCGCUUCUCCACCGGCGAAGCCCAGGUUCAAAGCUGCAAGCCCAGCUUUCUGGGAAAUGCUACAAGCACCUGAUGUGAUCUGAAAAAUACAACUUCAACCAUCAGUUUUAUAAACCUUUGGACUCAGAAGCCUUCAUGUCGUAGUUCGGGGAUUCUAAAACACUACUGGUUACUCUCCCUUCGCUAUUGUCGUAAAUCUAUUAUCUCGUCUCUGUCGCAGUCGAUUUGUGAUUUCACAGUUGUGUUUGUGAUAUGUAUAUGACUGACAGACAUUGAAUGGCGAGAGCAGCAAGAGGAAAUGUAAAACACGAAACACGUAUCUGCUUCGUAAACGGAAAGAAAUGUCUCGACAUAGUAGUACCUGGCUUUGAAUCUUCGCGCAAGCUGCUAAGAACUGAUUAGGGCAAGCGAGGUAUCCGAGUCGCCAACCAGUCAUCGCAAAAGCCUAGAAACCAUUAUACCAUAUGUAAAUAUUGUUUUUGCAUUUGUGCACAGCAGUUUUAGAAAUUGAAAUACGCAGUGCCUCAUGUCGCAUCCGAUUUCGAGGUAGUUUCUUUUUUUGAGGUAACAAAGUUCAUAAAAGAGAAGUAAGAUAAUGACAUAAUGAAAGUACCUUGGAAAAUCCAUUGACAGUGAAUGUUCUCUCCCACAUUCCAGGCAAUGAAGCAAAGCUUGUGUGUUUUGCUGGUGGGUAGAUGAUAUGCUCAUACAUCUCAUCACACAAUACCUGGAAAGCAAAGUAGCAGAAACUAAUAUACUGUAUGUUCUAUGUAAUGCAAUUGUCAUAUAACUUCUCAUCUAUUGCUUGUCGAUUUGGCCUAGCUUCUGGAGCAGCUUGACUGCUGCAGAAAGAAUAUGGCAAAUCAAAUGCUCCGCAGUAUAUGCUACGGCAGAAGCUAAAAUAAGCUUUCGCACACCUCAGCAAAAGCUCCAAUUCAAACUUUUGCUUCUUCUACAUCAAGAAGCUGUAGGGGAAACUCUAGCCAAAAAGGCUCCUAGACAACAUACCAAAAGCCUUGGAUGCUUCCUGACUAUAUCAGCAAUCUCUUCCAGAAGCUCUUUCGGGUAAACCGACCCGGUCGGAUUUGAAGGCGAACAGAGUAUCAGAACCCGUGACUUCUCAUUUAGUUUUGCAGCAAGGGACUCCGGCCUUAAAAGGAAGUUAUCCGAUAUGUCUGUCGGAAGGAUCACCGGCGUUGCGUCAGCCAACCUAGCCAUCUCAGGAUAGCUGACCCAGUAUGGUGCUGGAACAAGAACCUGAAUAAGAGGAGAAGCAAUAUUUAAAAGCCAAUAAUUGCUUCUGUAAGAAGCCAAAAGCAAUCCACAAAUUACAAAUCCAUUUUCGGAAUCGAUUUAACAUUUGUUAGAGUACAAAUUAUUGCAAAGAAGUACAAGUAUAAAUGAGACACUAACAUGAGCUAAAAGUGCAAUUUACACUUCACCUCAUCGCCGGGCGAGCAAACGGCGAGCACAGCUUGCAUGCAGCUCUGCUUGGCGCCAUUGCUGACCAGAAUCUGAUCCGGAGUGUAAGACAAACCAUUCUCCUCUAGUAAUUACAAGGGAGAAGAAAUUUUGCAGUUAACCCCCUAGGAUUAUAACAAAUUAGUCAGGGUUACUGGCAAAAAGAGUUUUCUCACCUCGAAGCUUAUGACAAAUAGCUUUUCGCAGCUCCAAAGUCCCAGCAUUGGGAGUGUACCUUGUGUAACCUUGCCUAAUCGCGCUUAUCCCGGCCUAGAAACAAAGCCAAAAAUCAAAAUCAAGGGCAAAACUUUGGUGUGAAUUGAUGAUAGUUCAUGUACUUAAGUGAAACAAGUGCUUCAGUUAGGGGCCUGAUUGCAAGAAAAUAUAGGCUGGGGACCAUAAUGAAAAAUCGAGUAAAUGUCGGGUAUUAUCAAUGCAAUUAAACACUUUUAAAAAUGAGAAAUGCUAACAAAAGUAACAGUGCAUUAGAGACCCCUCCAUUUUAGGCCAUUUUGGAAUAAACUCUGCAAUUUUAAAUUCUAGUUCUUUAUUUUUUAAUUAGAUUAAAAAUUUAUUAAAAUUAAUAAUCCUAUUACUUAUCAUUCAAUAAUAGUUAAUAAAAAUCUACAACCAAAUUAAUUGAAAGAGCAUUGAGAAUAUUUAAAUUUAGCAUAAUCGACCAUAUGAUUUACUAAAAUUCUCAAUCAAAAGCUGAGAAAGCCAAUCGAAAGAUAAAUAGUUGAGGGGUCUACUUCAACACUUCCUAUAGUUGAGGGGGCCUCUAUACUUUUCACCUUCUAAAAAUUGUAGGAAAUUUUAACGUUCAAGGGCCAACUCGUAAAGUUCCAAAAAAAAAAAAAAAUGCACACACUGCAUACAUUUCAAAGAUAUCCUUUUCCUAAUUUUCUUUUUUUCUCCAACCCAGAUCAAAAUCACAACAAAUAUUAUCAAAGAACCCCAAAGGUAUUAAUUGGUAUUAAUUGCAUAUGUAUCCCUACAAAGGUAAGAUAUUGCAUACUCAUGACAAUAAAAUUUAGUUAUCAAAUAUAUUUUCCCAAAUAGAACGGUAUGCAACAGUCAAUCAUACAAAAGGACUAUUCUACCUUUCAAUAAAUAUUUUUAAAUUAUACUUUAAAAACAUUUAUUGAUUACAGCACUAAUAAAAAUUAUAUUUCAGAAUACAUUAUUAAUAGUACUGCACAGAAGAUACCGAGGCUAUGAAAGUCUCCUGAUAAACUCAUUUUGAGAGAGAGAGAUAUAUUUGAUACUUGGGAACUUUGUAGAGAUGCAUAUGAAGUUAUUUAUAGAGUUUUCCUCACCUCGGCGAUGGCGGCCGGGGUGUCGAAGUCGGGCUCGCCGGCGGCGAGGCGGAUGACGGGGACGCCGGCCUGGACGAGGGCCGUCGCGUGGUCGGUGAUCGCCAUCGUCUUCGACGGCUUCACCGCCGUCACCCUCUGCUGCGGCUACACGAAUGAGAGCGAUCUCGCGGGGAGGGCGGCGGCGGCGGCGGUCUCCAUCGCAGAAGUUUUAUGAGCAGAAGAAGAAGAAGAAGAAUUCGCCCUAAUUGAUAUUGGAUAGCAUGAUCUCUUUUUCCUUCCCAAAGAUCUAUACAAAAGAAAAAAAAAAGAAAAGAAAUUAUUAAUAAUAAGAUGAGAUUCAAAAUGGGCGAUUACUAGGUGGGAUCUCGAUCUCUAGUGUUGAGGAGGGAGAAGAAGAGAGGGGCAUAUAUAUAUAUAUAUAUACCUAUUUCUUGGCCCAAUUAGUGUUUAAAAAUAAGGGUAAACUUCAAAUACACCCCUUGUGCUUUCAUACGUUUUCACUUUAGUAUCAUGUGGUUUAAAAUGUAUUAAGUCAGCCCCUGUAGUUUCGCACUUUCUCACUUUAGUACCCUGUGAUUUAAAGUGUAUCAAGUUAGUGCCCUGUGAUUUUAUUUUUCUCUUUUUAUUAUCCAUUUCACUAAUUUUUUUCAUUAAACUAGUGGCAACGUUAAAAUUAAAGGGUACUAAACUGAAUAUUCGAUAAACUCAUCUGAAGUUUUUUUGUUUAUAAUUUAACGAAAUAUUAACGGAGGGAAAAAAAAAUCAGUGACAAAGUUAAAAUUAAAGGGUACUAAAGUAAAUAUUCGAUAAACCUAGGUAAGAUAUUUGAAGUCUUUUAUAUAUAAUUUAACAAAAUAUUAAUAGAGGAGCCGACGAAAAGAGAAAAAUGAAAUCACAGGGUACUAAAUUGAUGCACUUUAAACCACAUGGUACUAAAGUGAGAAAGUACGAAACCACAGGAUAUUAAAUUGAUACAUAUUAAAUCAUAGAUUACUAAAGUGCAAAAGUGCGAAAUCACAGAAGUAGUAUUUAAAGUUUUCCCUAAACAUAAUAAUAAUAAUAAUAAUAAUAUUGAUAUUAUGUUAAUAGUAUUUACUAUUAAUUUUUUUAUCAUUAGAUAUCUAAAAUUUAGUAAGAAUUAAUAAAAUAGUAAUAAUUUAAAAAUAAAAAAUUAACAUUAAAUAUUAUUCAUAUACUAUCAAUAGUAUUCUAGCUUAACACUCUCUCUCUCUAUAUAUAAAGAGUUCAGUUAUGAUACUAUUAAAUAGUAUAUAGUAUUAACUUUUUUAUCCUUUGAUUAUUACUAUUACACUAACCACUCGCUCAACACUAAACAUUUACUAAUCACAAAAUAGAUAUAUCAUACUAUUUAGUAAUAUUCCUGCAACUCCCUUCCACUUUCUCUCUCUCUCUCUAUAUAUAUAUAAAAUAUAGGGUAUUUUAAUUUGGCUACUAAAAUCUUUCAAAAUUUUAAUUUUAGUAUAUAAUUUUUUAAAUUUAUUCAAUACAAGUUAUUUAAUAUUUCUUUCGAUAUUAGAAAUUUGAGCUAAUGUUUAUUUUAAUAAAUUUAUAAUCAUAUGACUGUAUAAAAUAUAUUAAUUAAACUCGUAAAGAUACUAAUUAUAUUUAAAAUUUAAACUUAAAGUGUCAUUAACCGGCUUAAAUUAAAUAAAUUAAAACUUUUGCAGUAAAAUCAAAAUUAAGUUAGUCAGAUUUUUAGGUAAUAGUUGAAAUAAGUUCAAAACAUUUUUAUCUAAAAAAAAAAUUCUUUACACAGUGGCCCUUUUGACGAUGAUCUCCUGCAUUAAAAAGUGAGUCAAUUAUUUUUUCUGAAUUUUGUCAAUAUUUUAAAUAGCUUAAAAAAUUUAAAUUGAUUAGUAAAUUAAAUUAUAAAAUUUUUACUAUAAUGUGGUAUAUCAUUUUGUUGAACAUCACAAUACCUACGUAAUUUGUAUCUCAAAAAAAAAACGAUAAUUUUUUUUUAUUUUAUUAAAACUAUCAAAAUUGAUUAUUUGUCUAAUAAUUUUAUUCAAUUUAUAUGAAUUUGAUACAUUAAUUACAACUAAUUUUGCCGAUAUAUUUAUUUUCAAAAAGUCUUAGAGCUGAAUUCAACAAUCAUCUAAAAAUUUUGAAUCAAUUUAAAAUGAGGGUUAAUUUCAUACAUAUCCCUGCAAAAGUAUCAAACUACAAAUAUUUCUAGCUAAGUUUAUUUCGAAAUAAAAUAAACGAAGCGGGUAGCGUGCUACCUAUCUCUCUCAAAAAAACAAAUAGCAACUAGCCUCUAAAAGUCCAGCUUGAUGAGACGAUGAAGAANAGGGAAGAGGAGGAGGAGGAGGAGGAGAGGAGAGAGAGAGAGGACUCCAUUGGAGUAGGUGGGAUCUCGAUCUCUAGUGUUGAGGAGGGAGAAGAAGAGGGGCAUAUAUAUAUAUAUAUGCCUAUUUCUUGGCCCAAUAAUUGUUUAAAAAUAAGGGUAAACUUCAAAUACACCCCUUGUGCUUUCAUACGUUUUCACUUUAGUAUCAUGUGGUUUAAAAUUAUUAAGUCAGUCCCUGUAGUUUCGUAUUUUCUCACUUUAGUACCCUGUGAUUUAAAGUGUAUGUCCUGUGGUUUUAUUUUUCUCUUUUUAUUAUCCAUUUCACUAAUUUUUUUAUUAAACUAGUGGCAACGUUAAAAUUAAAGGGUACUAAAGUGAAUAUUCGAUAAACUCAUCUGAAGUUUUUUGUUUAUAAUUUAACGAAAUAUUAACGGAGGGAAAAAAAAAUCAGUGACAAAGUUAAAAUUAAAGGGUACUAAAGUAAAUAUUCGANAAAAACUCUCUCUAUCCAUCGUGCGAUGGUCGAAACAAAUAAAGUAAAUCUUUAUUUGAAUCGACCUUUACACUUAGUUAAUCCUAAACUUAAAAAAAAAAAAAAAAAAAAAAUUCUCUGCAAAACUGUAAGUUAUCAAAUUUAUCCUUUUAAAAGUUCUCUGAUUUGCAAAUAUAUCCUUCCAAAAGUUUUAAUUAGUUCAUACAUGUUCCUGCUGUUUGAUUCACCGUUAAUUUUUUAACUGUAGAUGCAUAAAAUGACCAUUUUAUCCUUACAAAUUAAUUUGUUCAUGUAAAAAACUAUUUUUAUUUCUCUAUCUCUUCUCGCUUUCGCCGCAGCACGUGUGGUAUACCUCAUUUUUUCCGCAACUGUGGGUUCUCGUUUUUGAUAUCGCCGCCGCUGUAGGUCUCGUCGUUGCCAUGAAUAAAAUAGAGAGGGUGAGAAUUAAAGAUGACUGGACCCAACAUUGGAAUACAAGUUAUACAUAUAAGGGGUUAAAAAGUCAUUUUACUUUUUAACUAAUUGUGGUUAGUUUCUUUAACUCAAGUUUAUCUAAAUUUUCAUAACAGAAGGAUAUAUAUACAGACGGAAGAACUUUUGGAGAGAUAAAUCUGAAAACAUAAGUUUUGUAGAGAUAUAUUUGUUAUUUGAUACUUUUGUAGGGAGCCAUAUGCAAUUAUCUCUUAAAAUAAUGUUGAAGUGUGGAGUGACCAACACACUUUUUAGUACCAGAGAUACGAAGAUAGAAGUACAGGGGGAUUUUUGUAAUUUAGCCCUAGUCCUUUGUUGUUUUCUCUCUCUCUUUCUCCCACCAACCAAACCUACCACUGCUAAUAUUUUCGCUUUCCUAGUGUAAAAUAUAAAAAUAUAUAGGUAAUUUUGAAAAAAGCCCCUCAACUAUAAUUUUUGACAUAGUUUCAUAUGUAUCAAUAUAAAGUUUUAAAACUACAGAUUUAUCCUGCAAAUUUUUAACUUUUCAAAAAAUUUCCAAGUAAACAAUUUCAACGAAAUUUUUCAAUUUGUUAUUUUUCUGUGUUCAAACUAUUGAAUAUAUUUCUUUAAAACUCCAAAAUAAUCAAAUUUUUACUAUCGAGACCAUUAUGCCCUUGAAAAAAAUUAUUUUCCAUUUGUUUUUAGAACUUGUAAUUUAUGGUUGACGUAGAAUGACAUAAUUAGAGUACAAAUAUUAAAAAAGAUAAAUAAUGCUUAGAUAAAAUUAAAAUAUAUUUAUCUAAGUAGAAUGGGAAGAAAUUCAGAUUUAAUAAGUCAACUAAACACAGAGGGAUAUAUUUAGAAACUAUGUAAUUAUAUGAAAAUAUAUGUGCUAAUUUAAAUUUAUUACAAAUAUCUAUGAUUUUAUUGCUUUGUAGAUAUAGACGAAAUCAGAAAUUAAGAUUCGGGGUGGCCAAGAUUUAGAUUUGAUAGAAAAAAAAAUUCGACCUCGAAUAGUAAAAAAAAAAAAAUUGUCAAAUUCACUGAUCAGUUAUUACUAGCAACAAUAACAAUAAUAUGCUAAAAAAGGAAUAAAACUGUAAGAGUUGAAAGAAAAGGACCAAGAAAUUCGAAAAAAAAAAUGAAAUACAAAUUUUAUUAAAAAAAUUAAUUUGGCCCCCUAAAAUUAAAUUUUAUAAUAUUUUAAUUUUUAUUAUAAUAGACUUUUAUGUAAUUUUAAAAAAUUUAGGUAGGGCCAUGGCCACUGUAGGCCCCUCAAUGGCUCCGCCCCUGUUUGUAGAAAUACAUAUGUAAUUAGAAGCUUUUUAAAAUAAAUUAAAAAUUUCUUAACUUUUAAUAUUUUUUUAUUUUAUCUUUAUAUAUACCUAAUUCUUUGCCGUUUUGUGUUCUUCUUUUUGCUCCCACCAACCAAACCAACUACUACUACUUUGGUUUUAAUAUAAAGCAAAAAAAAAUGUAUGGCGCCCCCAACAACUAUAGUCCAAUUCCUAAUUUUUUUAAUUUAAAUUUAUACUUAAUUAGGUAAUAAUUUUAUCAAAUUUAAUUACUUACACUACAAUAAAAACGGUCUAUAGCGACACUUUUAAAUAUAGGUACAUGUCAAAAAAGUGCUGCUAGCUAAAAUGACCUACACUUUUAAAAAGUGUUGCUAUAUGUGGGAUCGCUAGGUAUAUAGUGACAGUUAAAGAGUGUCGCUAUAACCUAAAAGAAUGCUGCUAAUUUACCAACACUUAUUUAAGCAUUUAGCAACCGCCGAAACUCUAUCUCGUUGGGUGCUGUGGCGGAGGAGGACGACAGGAAAGGCUCUUCGUCUAGAAUUUCAGUGGAUUGAGUGAAGAGAGAAAAAAAGAUGGUAAUUGAUUUUUCUUUUUUUUUCUUUUUUGUUUUUUAUCGGGCCAAAUGGACUGGGUAUGGUGGGUUGAGUAGAGUAAUCUUUUAUUUUUGGUUAGAUUCGGUUUUAUAUUUAGGCAUUAGUAGAUAUUUUUUUAAGUUUUAGGAUAAAUAGGACACUUACUCAAAAGUGUCCCAAACAUGUGUCCCUAUAACCUAAUUCUGUUGUAGUGUUAAUUAGUCAUUGACAAUUAAUUGAUCUUAUUUUAUUCACUAAAGAAUAAUUUAAGUCAUUAAAUUUGGUAAAAUCACUAAUGAAUUUGGUAAAAUUCUCUACUUAAAAUCACAUAAUUUAUAAUAAUUAAAAAAAAAACUAAAAGCUAAGGAGUCUCAACUAUAAAAAAAUUGCAUUUAGGAAGAAGAAGAGGAUCACUUAACCAACAACUACCCACCAAUGGGGGAAAAGUGGGUGAUGGUGAUUGGAGGAGGAAAAUUAGGAGGACUUUGGUUUUGACUAUGGGGUUUAACUCAUAAUUAAUAACUUUCUUGUGGUGUUUCUAUGCAUUGCAUAUAUAUUUGCAUAAUUCCAUGUACUUGACCAUGGUUGGUGGAUUCAAAGGUGGAAAAUGCAUGGGGAUCCCUCAGCUAAAGGAUGUUUUGAAGCAGCCCCCCAAUCUCUAUUCUUUUGUUUUUAAUACUUUUGUGACUUCUAUGAUAUGUUUCCAUGCGCGAAUAUCUUGUCAAUGAAUCUUUUUUAUUUACUCAAAAUGAUUAUAGUGUUUGGUAGAUAUAGAACUACUCAAGUCCUAAUACGUUUAACCCUUCUAUCUCUUUAGGCCUAGUCUCCGCCCAAAAUGCUAUUGCCAAUUAAAAUUUUAGUCUUAUUAUACCUUAUUUAUAGAACUAUUCUAAAUUUCGGGGUGUCACAUUUUUUUUUCCUUUAAGUUCUGAUGUUCUUGUAAGGCUCAAGCACACUAUCUCGCUAAUUUAAGCCGAUCUUGUAGGAACUGCGCUCCACCUACAACUAUCAUCAACCGAGGAACUGCGCUAGCUCCACUUACAACGAUCGUCAAUUGAGGAGCAGCGCUCUAUCCGCUGUAUGAUCGUGGCUCAAAUGAGACUUCUUUUAUACUUUCGGAUGGUGAUAGGCUUUGAUAGCAAUUGUAACACUCCACUUUCCAAAAAAAAUCACUCAUUCGACAAUUACUCUAGGGUUAAUCAUCGCUUAAAAUACUAUAAUCGGGUUAAGAGGUUUAGUUAUAUAUAUCUUAUAUAUGAGACUAUUCUAAAUCGUGGAGUAUUACUAAAUAUGAUGACAUUUCUAGAAAAAUAUAUAAUAUUAGGCUUUUUAGUUUCUUUCUGUUUAAGGUCAGAUUACAACUUAGUAUUGCUUACAAGAAGCUAACAAAGUGAGAAACAGAAAGAAUAACUUGUUCUAAUUUCGAAUACAAGGAUGAGGAGCGAACCAAACUCCUAACUUACUUAAAACUGCAUAUAAAAAUUCUCAUAACUAAUAAAUUAUUACUAGAGAAUUUUUUCGGGCAUCUAAGUGAGGCCUUACAAUCUAUUUCAAUGUCGAAAUAUGUUAAUUAAUAUUAAUUUAUAAUUAUAUUAAAUGAGAAUUUUGUUUUAUGGUUAUCACCGAAUUUUGUUUUAUUAUUUGGAAUGGCACAUUUCACAUACAAAAUAAUUUAUUUAUUUUAUGUUGUUGUCUAAUCACACAACUCGCGUUCAUCAAUUACUAUAUAUAUUCUUCUCGAGUGAACAAAAAAAUAUUUCAAAACAUAAUUUUAUGCACCCAAACAAGGCUUUUUUUUUUUUGUAUUCAAGUGAUUUUAAUUGAUAAAAUUAGAAAUUAUAUUAAUAUCAACAAAAAAAUUUUGAAUUUUUUAAUGUCGAUUAUCUUUUACCAAACAAAAUUAUAACAAUUAAUAACCAAGUAAGAGUUAAUAAAUUUAAUAAUAUAAUUACUGCCACUACAGAGAAUAACUGAAAUAAACAUUUUUAAAAGUUGGGGUGUUAAUUGAAAAAAGAAUAAGGUUGAGACAUCUAGUUUUAAAUACUCUAUAGAUGUGGGGUCCCUCUGCAUUUUAACCUAAAUUCAAAUAGCCACGAGGAAAACGUGGGCAACGAUGAUAAUCGUACGGCACAAUUAGGCUAUUAGUUUAUUUUUUGUAAAUAAUUUUCUAGGGGUAAACUUCAAAUAUCAUCUCUAUAGUUUUAAACUUUCUCACUUUAAUACUCUAUAGUUUAAAAUAUAUUAUUUUACUAUCCUUUUUUUUUUUUAAUCUUUCCGUCAAUACCUCCGUUAACUCUCCGUCAAAUUAUAUAUAAAAAACUUCAGGUACUCCACCUACGGUUUAUCGAAUAUUUAUUUUAAUAUCAUGUGGUUUACCGAAUUUUUACUUUAACACUCUAAAAAAAUAUUUUUUUUUUCUAAAAAAAGAAUUUUUAUCAAAUCUAGUCCUAAGAGUACCGAAGGGCUGAUCAUCCUAAUAAGGAAAAAAUUAAUAUAGAGAAUAAUGAAAAUAAAAAAUUAAAACUAUAGAGUACUAAAAUCAUAUAUUUUAAACUGUGUAAUACUAAAGUGAGAAAAAAUGGAAUCAGAGGAUGGGGUUUGAACCUUUUUUUUUUUUUUCCUAAAAUCACCUUUGAACACUUUAAAUAGUGUUUGGUCUAGGAAUAAGAAUUCCAAAAAAAAGAAAAACAAAUCUGAUACUUUUCUUAAUGGGUUAUCUAAAGAUUUAAGAGAGUGAAACAAUAAUUCUUCUCCUUAUUCCUCUACUAAUUAAUAAUAAAAUAGUAUUAACUAAAAUAUUGCGUAUUAAUUUAUUCACUGAUUUACUAGAUAAAUAAUUAACCAAAUAUUUAAUCAACUAUUAUUUAUAAUUAAUUACCUAAUUAAAAAAUAAUUAUUUAGAUAGUUUAUGUUAUAACUAAUACUUGUGUUGAUUAACCAAUUAAUAUUAUGAUGACUAACCUAAUCAUUUUCUUAACUAAUUACAUAACUAAUUAAAUACUUAGAUAAUUAAUUAAUAACUUGACUUAUUAUUUAUAGUCAAUUAAGUAAUUAAUUAAUGUACUCUUCCAUUAUCUUAUACAGUAUUCAUGAUUAAUUAAUUUAUUCAAUUAUUACUUAAGUAAAAUCUUGAUGUUUAUUAAUUAGGUAAAAUAUUGCUAUUUUAAAAUUAAAUUUCUCCUAUUUUCACUAUUUAGACUCGUAAAUCUCUACCAAUAUCAGCAGGUACCUAUGGAUUACCACAAAUUUGCGGGUAACCCGUUAAGUUGUGAGUAUUUUGGACAAUCCGCAGGAACUCAUAGAUACCGUAUAUAUUUUUUAAGUUAAAAAAUAUAUAAUCUUCAUGAUAUUGACUAUAUAAUUAUCAAAACUUUAUUAAUUUUGUAUCACAUAAAUUUAGGAUAAUAAAAUACUUUUAUAUUAUACAGUUUAUGCACUUUAACAUUUUAUAUUAUUUUUUAGGGAAAACUUCAAAAAAACCUCAUCUGGUUUCAAUUUUUUUUCACUUUAGUACCCUGUGGUUUUGCACUUUAUCACUUUAGUAUCUUGUGGUUUUAAUUUUGUAUCAAGUUAGUAUCUUGUGAUUUUUUAAAUCACAGGGUACUAAAGUGAUAACGUGUGAAACCACGGGGUACUAAAGUGAUAAAGUGCAAAACCACAAAAUACUAACUUGAUACACUUUAAACCACAGGGUACUAAAGUGAUAAAGUGAGAAACCGCAGGGUACUAACUUGAUACCCUUUAAACUAGAGGGUACUAAAAUGAAAAAGUGUGAAAUCAUAGGGGAGGUUUUUGAAGUUUUCCCUAUUUUUUAUUUUAUAUUGUUUAUUUUAUAUUGUGAUAUUUCAAACAAUAAAUUAUGUUAUAUUUUAAAAAAUUAUAUAUAUGUGUUUUGUAUUUAAAAAGUAUAGGAGUAAAAAAAUAAUAAUAAUUUGCGGAUAAUCUGCAUACCAACCCACCCGCCUGCCCGUAGGCGGAUAUAGAUAAAAAUUUUGAUGACUCAAAAGUUUACGAAUAAAUUUUAUUCAUGCACAUAUAACGUACGGAUACAAUGACCAACCCAUGGAUUACGCAACCCACCCGGUUGGCAAGUCUAUCAUUAUUUCAGUCUAAUUAUUUAAAUAUUAUUUUUUGUAAAGUUGAUCUAAUUCCUAUUUAUUCUAAAAAUUAUGUCAAUAUUAGAAAUAACUAAAAAUAAUUUAUUUCUAAACGAAAUGAUACUUUAAUAUUUAUUAAAGUUAUAAAUUCUUAGCCUUAAUAGUUGUUAUUUUGAUCUCUGCAUUGGAUUGAGGUUUGGGGAUCGAUCCUUUGCCCUUGUUUUUACCAAAAAAAAAAAACUCAUAUUCCCCACUUGUUGGAUGAGACGAAACAAAAACAAAACAUUUCAAUACAGUACAUCUAAAAUAAGGCAUGUUUCAUAAGCUAUAGAAUAAUCAAACACAAAUUAUAAAAUAGUAAAAUAUUAUAUUUUGCAAUUCAGUCACAUACCAAAUUUAGCAUCUUGCAAUCACUUUUCUUUUUUGAGGAAAAUCUUGCAAUUCUCUUUAAUGGAGAGUCCAAACAAAAAAAUAAAAAUAAAAAUAAAAAUAAUAUAAAGAUUAAAUUCUAUAUUUUUCACUCUUGGGUUCUUUUUUCACUCUUUAUAUAUAUACAAAAAAUUAUAAAAUUUAUUUUCUAAAAAUUUUAAAUGCUCUAAAUUAUAUUUAAUGGUAUUGAUCAUCGAUUCAGAAACUUCAUGUCACGCCCCGGAUGUCUCGUUCCCCGGGCACGCCGACAAAUCCGCCGUAUACAAAGGAAUUUUUCCUGUAUACGAAGCGUCAAAAUACCUGUAGAAAUACAAUACUACAAACAGUAGCAUAGAGCUGCUCAAAAAAAAAAAAGCUAAAUAUCUGAGUUUCAUAUACAUAGCUAGAAUCCAAAAUACAAAGCUACUCGCACUGGCGAGUUAAACAACUAUGUACAUAAACUCCAAAACAAAACUACCUGCAGUAGGGGAAAGCCUCUAGCUCUGACUGUCGGGUAGGGCUCUAGCUCGCAACGCCCUUGCCUCGAUCCUGAUCGGCAGAAGAUGCAGCAGCCGGCACCUGUGGCUCUGCAAAACAUAAGUAACAACUGGGCGUGAGAACUACUGUAAAAAUAAGUAGUCCUCAGUGGGUACCGCCCAAAAUGACAUCGGUCACCCACUAAGUCUACAGAAGGGAGUAAGGAUAGAAGGAAAAGCAGGAAGUACACUCUAGCCGAUAUCAAUCACUAACUAUAUGCUCUACACAACCAACUGUAGAAAAUGUCAAACUCUGACCCAAUCCAAAUCGGAUUGUAAGCACACCCAUCCCGGGCACUGUCGAAUACACUCGGUCCCUGCCCGUUGCGACUACGGGCUCUAUCACUCUACACUGGCUCCGUGGAGAGCAAGUCAAACUGGAUGAGCGACACCAACCGUAAGACAAGCCUGACUCCGGGUGGCACUCGUGAGCGCUACCAACCCGAGUAUGCAGCGUAUUUCUGUCGAGCUCUAACAGGCUCGAAAGCCAAAGUCCAAAGAAACCGACUCUAAACUGGUCUAGACAAGCAACAGUACAAACGUGCCACUCGGCAAUCUGACGCCAAAACGCGCAUACAGCGGUCCACCGUAACUCUGACGCAACCCACAGUCCAAAUCAUCCUCGAACGGGCCCGGGGUAAAAAUUCAAUCGCGCGACCAGCAGAGGUAAUAUAUUCUAAACUACUGGGAGUACUCAGUACUCGACAAUAACUGCGACAGUACAAAUUCUAACGUCUAGAGCUAAAUCAGGAAGUUUAUUAAGUGACAGGUCCUAAAUCGGCUAGGUUUCUUCCUAACUUCAAUUUUCAGUCCUACAAUGUAUAAUUACUUUAAUUUAAAAAAAACAUGCUCAAGAUACACGAUUCACAAUCUACAUAUAAAUCCAUAAUUGAGCUACUUAAAUAACGAAAUCAGAUCUAUAACAUGUCGACCAAUAAGAAUCUUUGGACGUAAGCCGAUGUCAACCCACUAAAAAUCUAAUCCUCAGCAGCCACGAGACGGUCCGAAGGCAACCAGGAACACCCUGCUGGAUCAAUCCGCAAACCUCCAAAGGCCAGAAAUCACGCUCCCGCCAAACUCUACACGUAAAAUCCGAAAAUGAGCACCGAUUCUGCCUCAAAAACAGCAGCAGAGAAGAGAAUAAUUCCGACCAAGAAAACCUCCACCAAAACCAGCAAGUAAGGGCUUCGUGGAUUCCUCUCGAAGUCCCGAAUCCAACGAACCAAGUCUCGUCGAAAUCCGCUGCUCCUACGUCGAGAGGGAGUCGAAACGCCGACGGUCGACGCUGGAAAUUCUGCAAAUCAGCACCAAGCUCGAAAUGACAAUACUUGAAGCAAUGCAACGGAACACUCACCUCAAAGGCUAAUCGGACAUCGACGCGGCGUCGAGAACGACGAAAACGCACCCUCGCCUAGCUUCCUCGCAGCGCUACGAUGACGAAGACCCGCUCGAACGGCACCGUGGCGCGACGUCGGCGUCGAUCCGAGCUCCACGGCAACUCCACCCGAGCUCGAGCUCUCCACCUUGCCCACGAGCUAAAUUAAGGAGGGAUAGAGAGAGAAGGCUAAUUAGUUUCAAUGGGUUGAGUUGAUAAGUAUCAGGAGGGAGUUGGUGAGAUACUUAUCCACCCACUCAAAAGAUUUUUUUUUUUUUUUUUUCCUCACCAACUCAAAAGCUAAGGGUACUACACUUCAUCAUUGAAAAUAACUUUCUCUCUCUCUCUCUCUCUCUCUCUCUCUAUAUAUAUAUAUAUAUAUAUGGGUUAAUUGCAUACACGUUCCUACAAAUAUAGUGAAUUGCAGAUAUAUCUCCGCAAAGUUGAACUUUCAUAAGUUAUUCCUGCAAAAGUCCUAAUGUAUUCAAAUAUGUCUAUUUGAUUAGGAUUCGUUAGAGAACUGUUUAUUUUUUAACAGUAGGUUCAUGAAAUAUAUUUUUGCCCUCUUCCUCUUUCUUUUCCAUUUCGGGCUGCGGGAGUGAAUGGCGGCGGCGACGUCGCAGAGCUUGUCGGAGUUGCAGCCGAUGAGGAAGAGGCUGAGGCCCGUAGCGGUGAGGUGGAAGGCGAAGGUGCGGCCGAUGCCAUCGGUAGCGCUUGUGAGGACGGCCACGAGGGCAUCGACGAUCAGAUCAUCGACGACAACGACACAAAAGAAGAAGAAGGAGAAAAGGAGGAGGAAAAAAAGGAUACGAAAAAGAAGAAGGAGGCUGCAGUCUGGCUGUCGCCGCACUUACGUCAGAUGAAGGCAUCGCCGAGGAUGGCGAGGUCGGUGUAGAUCUCCCACGAGGAGCAUGGCCCAAUCCAAUGGUCUGCUUCCGCCCAAUCCCCUUCCGUUGUCAACGUGGCCUCCAUCGGCCGCUUCCUCCGCGACCGCGGCUCCUCCUUCUCAGUCGCGAUUGCCCGACGCAUCUCCUCCCUCGCCAGCAACGACGACGACGACCACUCUGACAAGCAGAAGAGAAAAAGGAAGAGGAAUGGGAAGAGGAAGAGGGAUAAAUUAUCAAUUCACCUUACUAAUCAAUCGUGGUUAGGUAUUUUAAUUGUGCUUAACUAAAUUUCUCUAACGGAUCCUAACUGCAAGGACAUAUCUGAAUAUAUAAGGACUUUUAUAAAGAUAACUUAUGAAAAUUAAACAUUGCAGGAAUAUACCUGUAAUUUAUUAUAUUUGUGAGGAUAUGUAUGUAAUUAACCCUAUAUAUAUUCUUUCUUCUGUACCACCACAGCUACUGCCGCUACUAUUAUUAUAGUUAUUGAUAGUCAAUUAAGGCAACUUUUGACCCUUUGAACAUAGUGGUGAUAUAAUUAUCAGGCCUAACUAAGGCCCCACUCAAGAAAAAAAAAAAAAAAAAUCUAAAAUGUAUCCAUCACUUGUGUUAUGAGGCAUGGCCUAAUCAUGUAAAGAGUUUGGUACUUGAUAUCUAAGAUUUUAAGUUCGAAUACUAGUCGAUUCAUAUUUUCAACUAAAUUUAUUUAAAAAAAAUAUACGAAACGAGUAAAAUGAGCUUUUCUCUCUCUCAAAAAAACACUAUAACUCGCAAGUACAAAAUGUUCAGUGCCAUUAGAAGUAUUGUAGCACAACACAUAAAAUAAUAAAGACUUAAUUACACUCUGCCAUAUUGUAAUUCAGUAUUAUUUUUAUUUGUCAUAUUAUGCUAUUUUGUUUUCAAAGACAUCAUUUUAUUUUAUCCUACUCUACAUUGCAUUUUAUAUUAGUUUUAUUUUUCUACCUUAUAGUAUUUUAUUUCUUAUAGAUAUUACUAAACUAUUUUUUUCUCACCAGACCAAUCUCUACAUUACUGUUAACCAUUCUAUUAUUUUAGAUAAAAUCUAAUAAUUUUAUUAAGAGACGCUUGGUUAAAUAGCAAAAAAAAUAUAAAAUAAAUCUUCAAGAUAAACUCAUUAAACGUUUCUAUAAAAUUAUUUUAAUUGUCCUUGUUAUUUUAUGUAUUUUGUUAUUUUUUUUAUAUGUCGAAAUAUACUAUAGUAUAGUAUAAUUAAGUCAAAAAUUAAAACAAAAAUAAAAAUAAAAAUAAAAAUAAAUCAAGAAUGAGCUAGGACCGGCUCGUGUUCGCUCCUUUAUUAGUCGAGCCCAACACGAUAUGGCUUAUUAAAAUAUCAACUUGAAAAUUUUAGCUAAUAUUCAGCUUGUUAAUAAUAUUUAUUAACAAACCUUAGCUCGCGAAUAGCAAAAUAGCUAUUUAUAUUUUCAAUUCUGCUACUAAAAAUAUAAGCCUGUUUGUAUUAGAUUGAGCUAAAACUCAAAUAAUUAAAAUUUAUACAAUAUAAUAUAAUAUGUAUUUAUUUAUUUAAUAUUUGAGUUAUAUCGAGUUGGUCUCAACUCGUAUUUGACUUAUUAAAAUUUUGAGUUGAAAAAUUCGACUCGCAUACGACUCGUAUUCAUCUCAUUUAUUAAAUUUAUUAAGGCUUAAUUUGGUAUUGAGAUUUAUUUGACGCUAUUAAAUAAAAUGAAAUUAGGAUAAAAGCAGAUAGAGAUAUGCUUCUGCGUUUUUUUGGUGAAAGCGUAGAAAAUAUAUUAUAAUUGACUCAUCGCGAUAUACAAAACACAAUAUUUUAUACAAAAUAAAUAAAAUAAAUUUUUAUUAUAUUUUUUAACUAUAUAUAACACAUCUUUCUACAAUUUCAAACUAAGGCUAAAUAAAUGACAUCUUCAGAACAUGAGUUGACUUGAGUUGACUUGCGAACAGUAAAUUGGAUUGUGGGCCCUACUAUUAGUAGAGCUUCGAGUUGGGAACGUCUCCUCCCUCCAACACGCACGUUUCGAGAACUCUCUCGUCCCCUCUCUCUCUCUCUCUCUCUCUCUCUCUCUCUCUCUCUCUCUCGCCUCCAUUAAUGGAGGAUCUGAGAAUGGCGUUGAAGGAUCACGCGGAUCUCGCAUCGGAGCUCUUCGAUCGCUUCUCCGCCGAGCUCCGCCGCGGAUUCGCCCCCGCCGUCGAUAACUUUCUAGGGUUUUUCCACGCCGUCGAUUGGAAGGUGCGGUUCUAGCGUCAAAUUCUCUACGCCACUGUUUCUCUUCAACAAAUUUAGAACGAAAUCGACAUUCCGUGGCAGUCGGAUUCAUAGAUUGGUUAGUUUUUAGCUGGAUCUGUGGGGUUUCAGUAGUUUGAUUCGGGGUGGUGAUGAUUAGGAACCCUAAUUGAUGAGUUACGGAUGGUUGCUUAAUAACAAUUUGGCUAUUUGUUCUUGGAAAUUUUGGCUUUAUUAGCAGUUUGAUUCAUGUGAGAUGUUGAGAUCUCUUUGUUUUGAGUGCAUGAGGGUUUCUGAAACUCAAACAUAGAUGUUUUAAAAUCUGAAUGUAAACUGGUGUUAUAUGAUCUACAAGCUUUAAAUUGUUUAUAUAUAAAAAAUCGUAAUAUUUGACAUAUAUUACAUAGGCAUCAAGUAGUCGCAAAAAUCGAAGGUCUUAACAAAAAAGAAAAAUCUAUUGUUCGUUAAAUGAGAAAAAAAGUUCAGCAAAAAUAAUGAUUUUAAAAAUAUGGGCCCUGUAAGCCAUGUGGAACAUAUCUAACAGUUUACAUUUUGAUCUUAAGGUAUCUAGGAUCGAGUUUCCGAGACCUAGGUGUAGUUAACUGCGGUAUUUACAAUAAUUUCUGCUUAAACAGAGUUCAUCUUGUUAUUGGAAAGAGCAGAAAAUUAUUCUGGGGAAACAAACACAUAUCUCUACGGAGAGUAUAUUUACAGUUUGAUAAUUACAUAUUUACACAAUUAUGCGCAACGUCAAGAGUAGGGCUCAUCGCGUUCCAUUGUGCACGUUGAUGGCGUAUGCAACCUUACUUUUGAGGAUAUUAUUUGUAAGGCGCGUAAGUUUUUGAGAGAGUCAUAGAGUGAUGAUUGAAAUGGGAGAAUAUUAUUUAUAAGGUG